GCGGUGUAAGAUAGAAUUACUUUGUUACACCAAAAUAAAUCGUGACAAUCAAAAGACUUGGGAGGUCAUUAAAUUGCUCUUUUCCUUCAACUUUACGUCAUACUUGUGCUUCACCAUUGGCGUCAUGUUAUGACCUGAUUCCGGAAUGAAGAAAGGAAUUGACGUGGGGUUUAGGAAAGAGAGAAAAUUUAGAAAUUAGGGAGAAUGAGAAGAGCUUAUUGAUUUCAUCUUCCAGAAUGAAUCAGUAGUACACGGGAGUAGCUUAUUUAUCGAGCUUCAAGUCACUUCUUGUAACAGAAUAACUACUUGCUACUACUAGCGUGUUAAGCUGUAACUUCGCUAACUACUUCUAGCACGUGGCUGUGACAUGAGGAUACAGCAAAAAUAUAGCAUUAUUGGAUUAAUUAUACAAGGCAUAACAUUGCUCCCCCUUAAGAAUCCGAGUCCCUAGGAUUAAAAUCUGGAAAUUGUCCCUUGAGCACAAUCCAAUCUUACCACGUUGCUUCUGCAGGAGACAUGUUCACCCAAUCCGCAGUACUUGAGUGACUGCAGAAUUUCCUCUCUUUAUCAUUCUUCUAUCCAAGGUGGCUUGAGGCCACUUUCACAGUGCCAUCAUCUAUAACUUGAGGCAAACUACCACUCACGGAUACACCCUUAGCAACUUUUUUAACAUAGAUACAUGGAAUACAGGAUGAAUGGGAGCAUCUGCUGGUAACUCCAGUUUAUAAGCUCCAACCUUCUGUAAAAUUUUAGAAGGUCCAUAGUUUUGGAUGAAAGCUUCAGAUUUCUUCUAAGUGCUAUAGAGCUUUGUCUGUAUGGUUGAAGCUUCAAGUACACCCCAUCUCCUACUUCAAAACUUCUCUUAUCUGCAUUCUGCUUCAUCUAUUCUGAGCUACCUCUAGAUUUUCUUUCAACAAUCUAUCCCAAUCUUGUCUUCCCUUCACCCAAUUUGUAGCUAUUGAGGAGUUUUCCGCAGAUGGCAACAAGCUAAUUUGAGGGGAGGAUAACCAUAAAGAGCCAUGAAAGGAGUCAUCUAUAAAGCCGAGUGGUAAUUGGUGUUAUACCACCACUCAGCUGCAGUCAACCUCUGUCUCCAUUUGGUGGUUGCUGGAAGGUCAUGCAUCUUAGAUAGGUCUCUAAGCACCUAUUCAAUCUUUCUAUCUACCCGUCAGACUGUGGAUGGUAAGUAGAUGGUAGGUAUAACUCGGUACCCACCUUUUAAGAAUAAGUCCUGCCAAAAAGCACUAGUAAAAACCUUGUCUCUAUCUGAGACUAUGCUAAGAGGUAGGCCAUGUAGUUUGUAAACAUGAUUAAAGAACAACUGAGCUACAUCUUGAGCUGUGUAAUUGCUGGUAGGGAUAUGAAAUGUCCAUAUUUGGUGAAUCUGUCAAUGACCGCCAUAAUGGUAUCAUGCCCCUUAGAUUUGGGAGCCCUUCUAUAAAAUCCAUGGAGAUAUGCUGCCACGCUUGUUUAGGUAUUAGUAAGGGUUGUAGUAGUCCCAGAUAUUUUCCUAAUUCUGCUUUACUCUUUUUACAAGUGUCACAGCCUGCACCAUUUGUUCCACAUCUCUUUUCAUUCCCAGCCAGUAAAAAUACAGCUUCAUUCUAUGAUAGGUACCACUAUUACCGAAAUGACCACCAACUAGAGAAUCAUGCAUGCAUUCCAUCAGCUUCCUUCUCAAAUCAGUAGCAUCCCCCACAAAAAUUCUACCCUUGAACCUGAUGAUACCAUGGUCAUAAGUAUAAUCUGUAAGAGAGUCUCCAUUAGUGGACAGAUUUCAACAAUUCCUUAGCUUUAGCAUCUCCAUUGUCGCUUUGAGUAACUUCCUGGAGCCAUGCAGGCGUCACUAUUGAUAUUGCAUUCAAUUCAUUUUGCUCAUUUUCACCCCUUCUGGACAAGGCAUCAGCAACAAUAGUGUCCCUUCCUUUCUUGUAUUGAAUCUCAUAAUCCAUUCCCAUCAGUUUAGAGAGCCAUUUUUGUUGUAAGGGAGUAGUGAUUCUCUGGUCUAGCAGAUACUUGAGACUUUCAUGGUCAGUCUUAAUUACAAUAUGUGCUCCCAUCAAGUAAUGCCUCCACUUGGUCACUGCUACAAUUAGGGAUAGUAGCUCCUUCUCAUAUAUUGACAUCCCUAGAUUUUUAUUUGCUAGUACCUGACUCAUAUAUGCUAUUGGUCUUCCUUGUUGUAUCAACACAGCUCCUAGAGCUUUGGCUGGCAUUAGUCUCUAGGAUAAAGGUUUAGUAAAGUCCGGUAAUGCUAAUAUAGAACUCAUGACCUAUUUCAACUAGUAGAAAGCAUUCUCAGCUUCUGUACUCCACCAAAGGAAUCCUUUUCUAACAAAUCAGUCAAAGGUUUAGCUAUCAACCCAUAGCUCUUAACAAACCUUUGAUAAUACCUGGUCAACCCAAGAAAACCCCUUAAUGCUUUAACAACUCAGGACGUGGCUAGGAUACCAUGCUCUGUACCUUUGCGGGAUCAGUUACCACUCCGUCCUUGGUGACAAUGUGUCCCAAGUACUCAACCUAUGGCUAACCAAAAGUGCAUUUGGAGAGUUUGGCAUAAAGUUUAUGAUGUCUGAGAGUAUCCAGAACUUGUUUAAGGUGAAUAAGGUGGGUAGUCAAAUAUGGGCUAUAUACUAAGAUAUCAUCAAAGAAGACUAAUACGAAUUUUCUGAGAAAUUGAAUUCAUGAGUGCUUGAAAGGUUGCCGGGGCAUUAGUAAGCCCAAAUGGCAUAACGAGAAUUCAUACAAUCCAGUGUGAGCUCGAAAGACUGUUUUAGGUAUAUGAUUGGGAUGCAUUCUAAUCUGGUGAUAACCAGAUCUGAGAUCAAUUUUGGAAAAUAUUUUGGAACCAUGAAGCUCGUACAAGAGAUCAUCAAUGAUAGGGAUAGGAAAUUUGUCCUUAAUGGUGAUUUCUUUAGCUGUCUAUAAUCAAUACAAAACCUUCAGGUUUCAUCUUUUUUUCUAACUAGCAGGACGGGUGAAGCGAAAGGGCUAUGACUAGGCUGAAUAAUGCCAUUAAUAGAAUUUCUUGAACUUGUUUCUCAAUUUCAUUCUUCUAAAUGUGGGGAUAUCUAUAAGGAAUCAACUUGAAAGGUUUAGAAUCUGGUUUAAGGGGUAUCUCGUGAUCUAAUUGUCUAAUAGGGGGUAGGUGGAGAGUUCUCCAAACACAUCAGUACAAUAAGCCAGGAGUGCACUUAUGGAGUCAUCAGUGUGAGACGUUACCUUAGGAGUGUUAACUGCUAGAACACAGGGCUGUGUAGAGUUUCUUUCUUCUUGUAUCUCAUAAACUUUUGGACAGUUUUUCCUUCCUCAGUUUGAUGUCUGCCUUCUUAAAUCUCCUUGUAGCUUUAUUUCCCACCCCUCCUGAUUAAAGGAGAAUUGCAGAUGCUUGAAAUCAAAAGUUAUAGGACUAUGCUCUCUCAUCCAAUUAACCACCAAUACCAUAUCGUACGGCUCAAUUGCAAGCACAUAUCCAUCAUGAGUGAAUGUAUGCCCUUGUAUUUCUAAGGAUGAUCCGUGGAACCCAGCUACUACACUGUAGCAUCUGCCCAUUAGCCACUUGACUGCGAACAAUUUCCUUGGUACUACUAAUUGAGGAUUUUCCUCGAACACUGAAGCUUCAACAAAAGUGUGAGAACUUCCUCCAUCCCAAAAUAUUGAGAGUGGUUUGCCAUUAAAUUUCCCUUCAGUUUGAUAGUACCCUGCAGCAGCUCGCCAAUCAUAAAGUGGAUGGAAAAUACUACAUCUUUAUGACUAUUGGAAAGAGUUCGAUCGUACAUAGGUUGGCAAACAUGGCUGGCAUGAAAAAGUGAUACAGUAUAUGAAAUUUGACUUCAAAAGCUUGCCCUUGCUCUUUCACGGAUACGGGGCAGGGACGGUCAUCAGAAGGACCGUCCCUGAACAGUUCCCUAACAAACUCUAAUAAGAGGCCCUUAUGCAUCCAUGUUGAUAUAAAUAAAAUGCUCCCGUUUCACUUAGUGAGCAUAAAAAAAUUUAAAAAAAACUUGCCUUAGCCUAAUAGAUUCCACUACUGUCGAAACUUCGUUCCAAAAAAAUCCCGCCCAAAUUGAUUGGGCAUGACUAUCCAUUAAAACUCAAAGCCUAAUGCUCUCCCUCCAAAAAUCAAUCUCUUACUUUCCAUCCAAAAUUUGUCAAUAUAACUCCAUAACUCUAGAACUAGAGCAAAAUAACAUUCAAGAACAAGAAAAUUGCAGACGAGAGUGCCAAAGAAGAGCCAUGGAAAUGUACUAUCACCCAUCAAUCAUUACACUGAGGAGAAGAAGAACUACUUGCUGAAGGAAAAGGUGUUGGAGAUCUGAUAGUAGAAGGUGGUAGGAUUUGAGACAGAGAAACACCCAAUUGCAUCUGCAUAAACCCUUCAGGUAACAAUGUUGCAAACCAAUGACUUAAUUUCAUUUUUUGGUGAAUGGUGUCCAUCUAUUGUACUUGUAGUCUCAUGAAACCCUUUGAAUAGUAGAAGUUAAUUAGUUGAUGGACUGCACAAGAGAGGAGGGUAAAGAAAAAUUUUGCAUGCCAAAUGUUUGCAAAAUAGAAAAAAAAACUUUCAAACCAAUUAGUAGAAAGAGUUAUUACUAGGGGAUGUAUAUGAGAGUAUUUGUCUAGCAAUAACAACAUCAGAUCAACAAUAAAGUCAAGGUUAUAAAGAAACAAAAAAUUUCAAGUUAUAUUUUUCAUUUGUGUCGGUUGUAGGGACAUGUAAUGGUGUAGAUAGAAUUACUGGUGUUUAUGGGUAAUUACAACGAAAUAAAAUAGGAAGUACAUUAAGAAUAAUAGCAAGCAAAGUGAAUGAUUAUAAUGAAUUAUAAGAUGUUCCAGUGAGUAUGCCUUUACAUCAAUACUGGAUAGCAAAAUAAUAUUUGUAAUUAACUGGUGAUAGUGGAGAAACACUUUCAUGCAGUUGGAAAUUAAUAAUCACUUACACUAAAAUGUUCAAUUUGCUUAAAAAAGUCACAAUGAAGGGAAAAAGAAGGAAUAGAGGCCAACAAAAAGAGGAAAAUGCACACAUUAUUAACAUUAAUGAGUGGUAUUUCAUGUUUGAAGAUUAGUACUUAUUCAUAUAAGAACUGUCUAGUAAUUGAAGUGAAUUACUUUAAACUUAAUUGGUAUGAGUAUUUAAAAUCAUUUAUAUAUAUUAGAUUGAAUGUACAUACGGUUCAGUAUGCCUUAUGUAGUGCAAAAAUAUAAUUAUAAGAUGUCUUAGUAGUGUGCCUGUACAUCAUAUUAGAUAACUAUUAUUUUUUAUGAAUAAACAGUGACCGUGGAGAAAUACUUUCAUAUAGUUGUAAAUUAAUAAUCAAUUAAAAUAAUGCCCUGUUAAAGAAAGGUGUGAAGGUUUGACAAUAAAGGAAAAAAAAUAAAAGGAAAUGCACGCAUCAAAUAAUAAUGGUGGUCCCUGUUUCUUGUGGAUUGCUUCAAAGUUGAUUGGUAUUAAUGUAAAUUCUAAUUUUUAUGUGUUAGGUUGAAUGUACAUAUUGUUCAAUAUGCCUUACUUACUGGUAGAAAAUGGUUACAAGAUGGUUUAGUUAAUAUGCCUAUACAUCAUAUUGGAUAAGUAUUGUUAUUGGUGAACAAUUAGUGACAAUCGACAAAUACUUUUAUGUGGUUGUAAUUCAGCAAUGAAGUAACAGGAUGAUGUUGAAGCAAGAUCUACGGGAUUUAUAAUGAAAGGAAAAGAAAUAUAAGGAAGAGAAGCGAGGUGAAGUGUACACACUAUUAAUUUGACAAUUUAUUAUCGCAUGUUUGUUACUUGGUACUUAUUUGUACAUUCCUAGUCUAUGGGAUUAAGCUUGAUUGGAUAAGUGUAGGAUGUAAUAUGUAUGUAUUAGGCUAAAUGUACUCAAUGUUCAAUAUGCCUUACUCAGAUUUGAAUCUAGUAUAUCAUAUUUAGUUGUGAUUUUAUAACGUCAUAUGAAUGCCAGGAAAAAAAAGGAAGCAGGGCAGGGACGGUUAAUAGAGAUCAAUCGUCCCUGAACAAUGUAAUAUUUUUUGAAUAUUUUGUAACUCUAUGUAAAUUUCUUGUACAUCCUUACAACAGAAAUGUGAUAUUUGGUUACUGUUCGUAUAAGUCCUAUAUAUAAUAAUUGUGUUUUUGUUGUUAAAUUUUUAUAAGUUGUUCACAUAAAGUUCCGUUUUGUUUAAAAAAUGUUAUUUUGUUCAGAACGGUUGUUUUGAACAAAGUAAGUAGCCUUUACAAUUUGCAUGAGCAGUGGCAAGAUAGCACGGAAAAAGACAAAGAAGAAUCCAAGAGAAAAGGAAGAAAUAUAAAUAGGGGAACUACCAAACUUGCAGAACCAAUCCCAUCAUUUAUAAUUAGAAAGGAAAAGAAGAAACCAACUUGAGAAGAAGAAAUGAAGCAAGCGAACUCAGCUAAUAGCAUUGUAUAACAGCAUUGAUGGCAGACAACCUAAGGUUCCAUCUAAAUCACUUAAUACGUAAGUGGCUAGUGUUUGUCUCUUGCAACAUCUAUAGAACUCAAUACGUGAGCUUGAUGAUAAUUAUGCGCAACAUGCAAUGGGAAGCAGUCAGGGAAAGAAGAAAAAAAAAUGAAGGUAAAACAUCUUGUUCAGAUUGCCUUUUUUAGUGUGGAAAAAUGGUUACCAGUUAUGUUAAUUAGUAUGCAUACAUCGUGUUAGAUAACUAUUACAUUUUGUGAUAGAAUAGUGAUAGUGAAAAAAAUACUUUGACAUGGUUGUAAAUACACACUUAACUAGUAUAAUGAUAUUAAAUAAAGUCCUAGAAAUUGAUAAUGGAACCCUUGUGAGGAAAGAAAUAGAGACAUAAGUUUACUCUUGUUUGUAAGUUGAAACCCCAAUUAAUUGUGGCAGAUCAAUAAUUGAAACCCACAGUAUGAAAAUUGAUUGGCAUGAAUCUUGGUUCUAAUGCCUAUAUGUUAGGUUGAAUGUACUUGUUGUUCAAAAUGUCUUGCACAUAAUUGAAUCUACCAUAUCAUUACUUUAUCUUGAUUUAGGAAUGUCAGGAAAAAACCUUAUUAACAUGAAAACAACUACAUAGCUAUACCUUCACAGAAAAAUGCAAAUAUUAACUAUACCAAAGUUCUAGAAUACAUUCCAACUCAUUUAGCUAUUUUUCACUAUGCUAUUUCCAAUCUACUUUUUAUAGAUAUGCACAAUCAAGUAACUAACACCUCAUUGAUUAUACCUCAUAGAUCAUGUACAUUUUCAUAAGCUGAUUAAUGCAGAUAUUAACAAACAUUAGUAAUUGUUUACUCUUGUUUAUAUUUUGAAACCUCGACUAACUGUAGUAAUCCAGUAAUUGAAGCCUACAGUAUGAGAAUUGAUUGGCAUGAGUCUUGGUUCUAAUGCCUAUAUAUUAGGUUGAAUGCACUUGUUGUUCAAAAUGUCUUACUCAUAAUUGCAUCUGCUAUAUCAUUUUUAGAACUACUUUAUCUUGAUUUAGGAAUGUUGGGAGAAAAUCUUAUGUAAUUGUUUAUCAAAAAGUUGGUGCAGAUGGCAUAUAAGAGAUUGAGAAGUUUGAUUAAGAAAGCAUCUAGAGAAGAAAAAAGUGAAAAAUUAGAUAAUAGCGAACUUGAAGCAUCAUCAAAAUCCUUGAAUAUGUAAGUUUGUCAAUGCUUUUAUGUUGCACCAGUAUGUUGGUAGGAUAGUGAGACGUGAUUUUUUUCUUUUUCUUUUUCAACAAACGAUAAUAGCUUUAUAAAUAUUAACACUUGAUAAUACAAGAAUUACUUACAAAAGGGGCAACUUGGAAAGUCACUUUCCCAAUCUAUGUCAUUAACUAGCUUUGAUGCAAAAAGUGCUAGCCUAUGACUUGCUAUAUUUGGUGUUCUAGGUACCUAAGAUAUUGUGCAAUGGUCAAAAUCUAGUGUUAGGUCCGCAAUGUCUUCCAAGAUGUUUGCUAGAGUUCCAUCUUGUACAUUGUUGCAUCUGAUGUUGUUUGUGUCUAUGAGACGUGAUUAUUUGAUUGAUUGCAAUUAAGAGUUGUUGAAUCUUAGUCAAAUUGAUAUGUGUUGAACAAAGUAAAUAACCUUUACAAUUUGCAUGAGCGGUGGCAAGAUGGCACGGAAAAUGGCAAAGAAGAAUCCAUGUGAAAUGGAAGAAAUAUGAAUGAGCUUGCAGAACCAAUCCCACCAUUUAUAAUUAGAAAGAGAAAAAGAAAUCAACUUAAGAAGAAAAAUGGAAAAAGUGAAACUAGAUUAACAGCAUUGUAUAACUCUUUUACUUUCUUUUUAUACAUUUUAGUUACUACAAUAUUUGUAAAUUUUGUAUUUCAAUUUAUAGAAAAUGUUAUGUAGUGAUAGGUAAGAAUCCUUGUAGAUAUCAUUGUAAUCAUCAUAGAUUUUUGUUCAAUUUGUAAAUUUGUUUGAAGCAUUAUAUAUAUCUAUUAGAAUUGUUGUAUAUAUUGUUAUGACUAGAUUGUACAUUUGGUUGAUUUUUAUAUGCAUCAUACUUAAUAAAGUUAAGGAUAUUUGUUCAAAGAGCAAUUAAAUGAUAGAAGGAUGCCAAAAUUGACAUCCCAACUGUGUUUCUAAGGUUUUUAGUUUGGAGUUUGACAAAAAUGGAAACGAGUGACACUAUGAUUGGGUGUUACAAAUUUGUUGAUAAAAAUCAAAACGUGUACACUCCACAGAAAAAUGCUAAUAUCAACUACACCAAAGUUUCUAGAAUACAUUCUAACUCACGUAGCUACUUUUUAUUGCAUUAUAUCUAAUUUUUCUUUUAUAAAUAUAUAUAUUCAAGUGACUAACACCUAACAUGAUGUACAUUUUUAUAAACUAAUUGUAACUCAUAAAUCACUCCGUGUAAAGUGCUCACAGAUAAAUUAGUACUACUCAUACAAGUAAAAUUAUGCAUCAAUUAUAGGGAGAUGCACAAGUUGAUCAAAUGGUCAAUAACCAUUUCAAAGUUAUGCUUACCAUUGCACUACCUUUCAUAGAUAUAUACAGAUAAGUAACUAAUAUCUAACAUGAUGUACAUUUUUGUAAACUGAUUGUAUCUCAUAAAUCACCUCGUAUAAGUUGCUUAUAGGUAAAUUAGUAUUAGUUAUACAAAUUAAAUUACACACCUACUGCAGCCUGCAAGAAGAUGCACAAGUGGGUCAAAGCACUAAUAAUCAUUCCAAGUGUAUGCGUACCAUUGCACUAUGCAUGUGGCUGCGAUGACUAAUUGCAAUACGCAUGAGUAAUUACUACUUUUUAAGAUUGUCAUAUAUUGACAACUAAAAUUUUACCUAAAUCCACUACUUUCAUAAUAGUGGUAAAUAACUAGUUAAAUUUUUGUUCAAUCAAAAUGUAUGUAACUUAUAAGUAACCAAAUGUAACUAAUUUUCACUAAUUUGUGAAACAAAUUUUUUUUUUGAACAUAUCAUAAAAUGGACUAAAUAGUUUGUAAGGCAUUAGCAAUGGAAAGUCAGUAAAUACUAACAUGAGAUACAACAUCGACAUGUAACUAAUUAACAAUAAAAAGUAAAUUUUUUUUUGCUAAUUGAUAGAAUAGAGUUAUUGCUUUGAAUAUAUUGUAAAAUAGAUUGAGCUAACCAUAAAAGAUUAAUAACAAAUAGUACUUAAAUAUUAACUAAAUAUACAACACUGAUAAACAGAAUCUAAAAUUAAUAAUUUAACUUUUUUUUCCGCUAAUACAUUGUAAAAUGGAUUGAACAUAUGGUAAUGCAUUAAAAACUAAUUGUAAGUACAUUCUAACUAGUAUUACAAGUCUAGCUUAAUGAACUGUCUAAUUGUCCAAUCUAAUUUCUUUACUCCACCAGCAUUGAUUGAUAUCCAUUGAUUUGUCAAAAGAAACUAUCUUUGCCCAUGAUAUACUGCAAAAUAAAAUUAAUAAGAUAUAAUGUGUUAGCAAUUACAUACAAGGUAUAGUUAAUCAGAUCCCAAUUUAUACGCCUAUAUGAACUCUAUGAACCAAUAAACAACUAUAUAGUAAAUUCAUUCUUACAUUAUGUGUAUGUAUGUGACAGUGUCUAUGGGUUAACAACCAAUUACAAAUUCAAACAAUAGAUUAACUUUUGUAAAUUUAUGGCCAUAUAAGCAUACAUAAGAUAUAGUACUACUCCGUACCUACUAAUAACGUGUACACUCUACAGAAAAAUGCUAAUAUCAACUAUACCAAAGUUUGUGAAAUACAUUCCAACUCAUGUAACUACUUUUUGUUGCGCUAUAUCUAAUCUCCCUUUUACAAAUAUACAUAGUCAAGUAAUUAACACCUAACAUGAUGUACUUUUGAAAACUGAUUGUACCUUAUAAAUGAUCUCGUGUAAGCUACUCAUAGACAAACAAGUAUGACUCGUACAAUUAAAUUUACAUAUCCAUUAUAGGGAGAUGCCCAAGUUGAUCAAAGGGCCAAUAACCAUUUCAAAUUUAUGCGUACCAUUGCACUACCUUUCAUAGAUAUACAUAAUCAAAUAACUAACAUCUAACAUAAUGUACAUUUUAGUAAACUGAUUGUAUCUCAUAGAUCACCCCGUGUACGGUGCUUAUAGGCAAAUGAGUAUUAGUCAUACAAAUAAAAUUACACAACCACUGCAGCCUGCAAGGAGAUGCACAAGUGAGUCAAAACACUAAUAACCAUUUCAAUUGUAUGCAUACUACUACACUAUGCAUAUGGUUGUGAUGACUAAUUGAAAGAUGCAUGUGGACAAAUAACUGUAUGUUUCAACAAUUUCUAUGCAUCAUACUUAGUCAGUAACACAGUGUACAUUAUUUCAACCAGAUUGUACAUUUACUAAAUAUUUAUAUAUAUACAUGCUACUUAUUGAAGUAAACUACCUAUCUACUAAAUAUUUAAUGCAUUCUCAUAAGCACUAAUGGUCAAUUUAAUAGGUGAUUGGAACAAAUAACCAUCUAGUAAAAACUUUUGAUAUAAUGUUAUUGAUGAAUAACAUACCAUACAUUCUGAUAAACAUGGUGUACAUCACGCACCUUAUCUAGACAAAAUCCUACAAGUUAUCAAAAGUCAUGCCAUACUUUAAAAGCAAUUACAAGUAGCAAAAUUUAUACAUGUACAGUCAUAUCAAUAGAUUGUAACUUUUAGCUUGCUUUCUAUAUAUUCAUACAAAUACAAGAAUUGUAUAAUACAUAACUCUUGCUUUAUAACAUAAUUUUCCUAACUAUACUUAACAUUUUCCCCUAGUUGUGUGAAGCUUAAACUUCUUUAUCAAUCUAAUGACUUGGUUAUUUUCAGAGUUACUAAUCGACCUAUGAAUAACCAAAAUUAAGGAUAAGGGUUAGUAGAAUUACCUUCGUCUACCUCUACCAUUGUUUUUCAACCUUACUUCGCCAUCCGGAAUAGUGGUGUAUGUACUCAGUUCUAUUUUGCUACCCAAUAUUUGCUUCAGGAUCGAAAUUGCGAGGCAUUAAUACCUGUUGCAUCUGUCUUCUUUACCCUUAAUCGUCAACAGAUCUCCUCUAUAAUGAUGAAACACUACUAUAGCCUGUUUCUUCAGUUUGAAUAGCCCUUAUCCAUCAAGCACAUAUCCCUCACAACACGUUACUUCUCCAGCUUUAACAAAGAAGGAGAAGGUUAUCUCUCAGUAAUUUUCUCAUCCCCAGUUAGAGAGAGAAAUUAGUUUCCUUGAAGAUAAAUAUGAUGUUGAAUUUUCAAUUCCCGAUUAGAAAGAUAAAGUUGUUUUCUUCAACAUUGUGUUAAAUAGUGACUUUCCCAAUUUUAAGUUGAAGCUAACUAUCAAAUUCAAAAUUUCAUUUCAAAAUUCAAACUUUUGAAAGUUCCGUUUAGUUUAACCCAGUCCGUUAAGAUAAGCCAAGUCAAAUUUUUUUUUUUUUAGAUUUUACUAAUUGGAACGAUAACACUUUUGCUUCUCUUGUGAUCCUUGGCUGUGUGGCUCUUUUUCAGCCACAUAUUUAGGCUUGUGAGGACCGUCCCUGCCCCAUAUGGAUGAGAGGCAGGAGCAGUCAUCAGAUGGACCGCUCCUGAACUGUUAAGGGCCAAGAUUUGGCUAUAAAAAAUUGUAAGGUCCAUAUCACUUCUUGUACAUCGAUUUUCACAACGUGUGUGGAGCCCACAAAAUUUUAUUCUAAAAUUACACAUUGUGCAAAUAAAGUUAUACUUGUGCAAACAAAGUUACGUGGUAUGUAAAAUGCAUAAAACCGCGAAGAACAGUUGCAACCGGCAACCGUUCCUGCCCGUGGUCCACCCUAUAUCCGCUCUUUCGCCCUACUGUCCAAAGUAGCUAUAACACCUUUUAGGGGGGAAAUUAAUUACGGAAGGAAAAGAUGAAUGGAAAAUUGAACUUUCAAAUGCAACUAUUGUUAAGGGUUAGAGGCACUGAGCACCCUAACUUGGAGAUAUUUUCACAUUUUUCUUUAACGUUAUUUUUGUUGUAUUUUGCCCCUUCUAUUAAGUCACAUCAACUUUUGUCAUUAAAAAGAAAAGGUCAAAAGUUUCAAUCUUGCCCUUAUCUCCAUUUCCCUUCAUUUUUUUCCUUGUCUAAGUUUCUCAUUUCACACCUUUUUCGUAGGUGUAAUUUCCUUUUUUUUUUUUGAAAAUUAAGAACUAUGUUUCCAAAAUAUUUCACUUCUAUUUUUUUUUAAAAAAAUCUACCAAUAUUAAGCAAACAGAAAACUUUGCUAUUGUUAAAAAUAUUGCACAUUUAUUAUGAACAUCAAUAAAUGGAGGUAAGAUACAAUUGUGGUAAGAUAUCUCUCAAACACGUGUUAGUGAAAAUAUAAAAAUUUUGACAAAAAAUUUUCUUGUUAAAAUUACAUAGCAUUAUUUUUUGGUAUCUAUUUUAUGAUUUUUGUUGUACAUGAAAUGAUUUUAUUUUAAAUUUUACAAUAGAUUUCAAUGGCAUGUAAUUUUUUAAAAAGGGGUUGGAACUCGUUUUAAGGAAAUUCUUCCGAAACAAAAGGAUCGGAUCUUUUUUUCAAGCAUCAUUUCUUCACUAAUUUUUACUUUGAAAUCAUUAAUUUCUUUUUUGAUAAACUGUUAUUGUCGACCAUUAGUUAAAGGGAAAAAGUACAAUAAAAAUAAUGUUAGGAAAAAAAGUGCAAAUGGCAACAAACUUUAGGAGGCUAAGUGCCUUUAACCCUAAGAUUAAUUCUAGUGUUUGAUACUGCUUUGUCUGUGACAGCCCCACCUCCCACUAAAGCGAACCAAAGGGUUCGGCGGACCGCUUGUCCAACUCUCGCAGGGACUCAGUCGUUCACUUCAAUUCUUAAUCAAAACCAGAAUAAAAUCACAGGAAUAAACAUAACAACGAUCCAAAACUUAAAGCAAAACUUAUAUACAUUGCUAUCUCAAAAGGGAGUACAAAUAUCGAAUAUACAAAAGUUAUCAAUUCUUCAUACAUCCAACCCGUGCCAAGCGCUUGGGCGAGAACCAUUACAAAAUCAGAGAUCCAGCCUAAGCUAGUCUAUACAAAACUCCUGUCCUGGUUCGCCUUCCCCUGUUAAGGAAAACGAAACUAAAGGAAUGAGUUAAAAGUUCAGUGAGGUUCCGAACACAUAAUCAAACAGUCAAUUCAAUACAUUAAACAUAGAAUAUCAAUAUUUCACGAUAAUAACACAUUCAUUAAAAGAAUACGGGCUCACAAGGAGCCAUUCAUUCGUUCGUUCAUUCAUUCUCCUAUCAUUCCCCUUAUUCCUCCAAUCAUUUGAAAAUGCGUUUUUGUAAGUAAAACCCUCGUUCGUUCAUUCGUUUCAUUCACCCCCUUCUUGGACGUUGUCCAGGCUCCACCAGAAUUCAAGGUAAUACUCGAGUAUACCAAACGUUCACACCCAGGGUUACCAUAUCGCCCGAUCGAGUCCGCUUCUGGCCCGAGUCGAUCGGUAACAAAGCGUAGGGUCCAGUUCAGCCAAAAGGCUUACAUCAUGCACAUGUAACAUUUCAAUCAUUAAAUCAUUGAAAAUUUCACAUUUUAUUUAGGUCGAGCGCGAUAAAGUACACACUCACCUAAAAAACUCGUUUUGAAAAUCCUGAAAAGCACUUAACACAUUGUCAAACAAUAACACAAGUUAUGAAGUCAAGAAAAAUAUAGCAAACAAGGAACACUCACCUAUUUAUGCAAAAUAACGUGCAAAAUAUCCUUCCGGGUCUUACCCUUAGUCAUCGAGAAAACCUAAAAUUAAACGAGAAAGAAUAUUACAGUUUAUCUAGCAAAACAAUUAUGUGAAAUCGAGAAAACCCGACUAAUUACGAGUAAAACGUAUAAAGAUGACCUUCAAGUGAAAAGCGGGUAUUUGGAUCUGUGGACAGAAAUAACUAGGGUUUCAUAAACCAAACUUAAAACUAAACUCAAAAGGGUUAUAAAAUUUCUAACGGAAAACACUUGGACCAAAGACAAAUCGGAAUCCAACUAGAUAAACUAAAGAAAUAUGUUUUUUUUUGAAUCAUUUGGGUAGUUCAAAAUCAAUAUAUAAUCAAGUAAAUAUUAUACAAAAAAUAUCUUGAUGAAAAGCAUGUGAAAAGGAGGACAAAAAUACCUUAACUUCACACUUAAACCCUUACUUGAAAGUAGUUCAUUUGUGGUCGAGAAAAUCGUAGUUCAUACCUCUAUAUUUUGGUACGGAGUAAGUAAACAUUUGAAAUUUCAAAUUGAAGAGGUAUCAUGUUUUAAAAUGAUAAAACGAUCAUAAUAUUUACCAAGUAGAAAUAUAGGAGUUCAAAUGAAAAAUAUGUUUUCGAACACCCUUCGAGAGCAUCAAAGUAGUUUUCCCAUGAAAUACGCCCAACUUGACUCAAAACACAUUUCUAAAACCAUUUUAACUCACUCACAUUACAAGAAAAUAAACGGACGGUAUUUCCCUCUAAAACUUCAUUUUCUUCCUACAAACAAAUACCCAAACUUGCAAGAAUCAAACACAAUCACACAUUCGGUUUAUAAACAAUAAAACACGUCCAAUUAGGCCACACUAUCCUUCAAUUAAAGCCAAUUAGAAGCUCAAAAGCCUACCAUUAGAAAAUCCCCAAAUUAAACCCUAGAAACCGGAAUUUAUUCCCACAAGCAGAAAUUUUCCGCAAACAACCGCAAUUAACGUAUAAAGGUCCCAUUUAACACCAUUUUAAUCCAUCAAUCCAAGACCAACCCAUGACUAUCAUAUAAAAUCAGAAAAAUACUCAAUAAAUCAGAAAUUGAACCAACUUAACUUAAAACCAUGAAAUCAUCCACAAUAUAGCAUCUCCAACCUUUACAAACCACUAAUUAACCAAUAUUAGCACCAAAAGAGAAUUUCUUAACAACUCACCUUAUGAGCUCAAGAAAGGUAGAAACUUAAGACUUCCCCUCCAAAAACAACUCCACCAAGACCUCUAACCCUGCUUAGCUAGUGCUUGUAGGGAGUAGUUUGAAAAUUCAACGGUGAAAUCUCAAUAUUUGAGCAAAAAUUGAAGAUAGAAAAUGAAGAGCUUUCUUGGUUUUUCUCUCAAGCUAGCCGGUCAAGCAAGGAGCAAAAUGAAGAUAUUUUAGGCCAAAAGUAGGACAAGAAUGAAAGAAACAGCCGGUCAAAGCUGGUGACCGACUGUGACACGUCACAAUCCGGCCAGAUUCCUGGGCGGAUACAGGGCAGAGGCGAAACCAAUUUUUUUUUUUCAAAAUCCUCAAACAAUCCGGCCAAGAUCUGGCCAGAUUUGCGGCCGGAUUUGGUACCAAACAUUUUCAAGAAAAAUUUUCUUUUCUAAACUCACACGCCGUGUUCAUCCGUACUUCCAACGAAUAUAUAUAUAUAUAUAUAUAUAUAUAUAUAUAUACAUAAUCUCACGCAAAUUCAUUUGAUAUACACAACCACAUACUCACAUUUAUAAAUAAAACCUCUUUUUAAAACAAAUGGUUACCAAAUUUUCAUUUGAAACGGAAAGUGAGAAUAAAGAAAAGGUUAAGAAAACGUGAAAAUUUUUAGGGUUCUCACAUUGUCACUACGAACUUACUAGUCCGGAGUUUACUUUUGUCGAAAUGGGAAGGAAAAUUGGGGGGCUAAGUUUUGUUCUGAACUAGACACAAAGUUCGUUAAUUACAUUUUACUUCUCUGGGAACCCAUCUCACCCCCAACUGCCAACAUUCUUUAAUUACACAGUAGUAUCAGAAUCGUGCUUUCACUUUUACGCGUCUAUAACUCUUCUGUUUUUGGACUAUAUUUCUAUAAUUAAAUGGAGUAACAUUUUAUGCCCCCUCAUAAAAAUUUGCGAGAUUCUGAUAUUUAAUAGUUUUUGCACUACAAAUUACAAAAAUCCCGCGUGGCAUUAACCAUACAAUAAUAUUACGCUAAAAAUGGGCUUGGGGAAGUUCAUGCUACAUAAAUCAUACGUUGAGAGAAGAAUGAAGAGGUUCUUGAAAGCUGUUCUUAUUUCUUGAUUAUUACUUCUUCUUUUUUUUUUUUUUUCCAUGAGUCUUUUAACUUUCAUCACUUAAGAUAAUAAGUUAUUAAGACUGGAAAUUGUUUGUUGAAUCAAUCUACCUGCAGGUUUUGAGUCUUCCCAAGUCUUCCUUUAUAGUCAUCUUCUUAUUCUUGAAUUUCACUCACAUUAUUUUCUUGUCACUUGUAAAGGAGUCUUCCCACGUCUUUCGUUUGCCGUCGUCUUCUUUUUAUUUUUCUUUUUCACAUCGUUUCCUUUUCAGCUGUUGUCAGUUAUGUGUAAUCGCCAAUGGGAAUUGUUACCUUGGAGAGCAAGUGUCAAAAAAUAAGGAAAGUAAUAUCUUCAAAUCUUGUGAUUACGACUUUAAUAGCAUGGUACUAUAUCUGGUGGUUUUUCUCGUUUGAAUUAACUCAGAAAAAGAAAAUUAUUGACUCGUUAACUUCAUGGCUAGUCCAGUCAAGCAUGGACAAAUUUACAGAUCUUUGGGCAAACUUUGGCAUUCUUGAUUGGAUUGAAGUUUUUUUGCAGAAAAGUUUUUACAUGAUCGCAUUUCUCAAAUACCCUUUUAUUUCAUAUAUAUAAAAUUGUUAUAGUAUAUUUUUUUUUAUAAUAAUAUAAAAAAAAAGACAAUCCAAACGAGUGCAUGUGUAGACUAAUUGGCUAACUUCCUCAAAUUUUGUGUGUGUUUGAUUGGCGGAUUUGUUAUUGUAUCAAAGAGAUUCGAUGAACACAAUUAUGAAGUGUAUGGAAACGAAGCUCACGGUCAAGGACAAAAUAAUCAGUUAAUUGCAAUGAAAAUAUAGAUGACUCCACAAUAUAUACGACUCCUCCUUCACAACAAUAUUCCCUUGAGUCCUACUCUUUGUGUAAAUAUGGCUGCAAACGAAUUCAGCCACUUGCGAGUAGUUCAAGCCAAAACUCGACCCGAGUUUGGUUAACGAACUGAUCAAAUCGAACUCGAACUUAAAGAAACUCAAUUCGUCAACUCGCAAGUUGACUCGAAUAUAUAUAUAUAUAUAUAAAUUAUAUAUAUAAUUUUAAUAGUAAAAUUAUAAUAUAUAUAUAUAUAUAUAUAAGUUCUUAAUAUUUUAUUAUUUGUUAUGAAAAAUUAUUAUUUUAUUCAUUUAUUAAAAAAUAAAAUAAUUAUUUUUUUAUUUUUUUUAUCUCAAGCACAAACUUUACAUUGAGAACUCGAGCUCGAAUUCGAGUUUGAUAAAACUAAAUCGAGACUCGAUUCGAUUAGGUCAAAAUUCGAUUCGACUCAACUUGUUUGCAAAUAAGUUGUUAUCAGAUAAGUUGAUAAAACCAGUCAUUAGAUAGUUAAAUAAGUUGUAAAAGAUUGCUCACAGUGUAAUAGUUCAAGAAUGCCUUUCAAUCAGAAAAAAAGUAAAAUUAUUUAUGUUUCAACCCUUCUUUCAACUUGCUUCUGGUACAAAACAACAAAUAGAAGUUAUUGAGAGCAAGAGAAUGAGAGUGGGGGAAUCAACUCCAUUAUCUUAGACCAAUGGCUUCUUGGACUAUUGGCCAUCACAAAGGCUUCUCAAUUCCUUUUGAGGUGGGAGUUCAAGGUUUUGAACCUUGCUCCUAUCAUUUGUCAUUCUAUGUGACUUCGCCAAAUUCAGUCGGUGUCGGUUUAGUUUUCUCUGGUUCUUAAUGACCUAGUUGAAUCUAUUCCCAUUUUCAUAGAGUAGAAGUAAGUGUAGAUUGUUGACGUUUGUAUGGGAAAAGAAAAAAAAAAAAAAAAAAACCUCCGUUAACUUAAGAUGGGGAUUUGGGGAUUGGGUAGAUAAGUCCCGAAUUUGGCCUCAGGAGUUACCACUAUGGCUUUUGAGGUUAAUUUGGGAUUAGGUUUAACUACUAAUUCUUAAAAUUUCUGAUAAAAAAAAACUUAAGAUGCCCAUUGUAUUGGGCUAACCCAGAGCUUAGACCAAAAACAUUUUCGUGGACUAUAUGUUUAUAUGUACGUCAAUUUCGGACUCCUGCUCCAGUUAAAAGCAUCCCAAUCCUGAGCAGAGGUGCAUUUACUUCGAGACAUUUGUAAAUGGGAACUUUGGAAGACUGGGACAAUGGGCACACAAGGAAACUUGAAGUCCUUAUGAUCAUCUAAUCAGUGCUCCUUAACGAACAGGAGAGUUCAAUCCGGAACCUUAUGAUCAUCUAAUCAAUGCUCCUAAGUCCUAUCCGAUUAACAAAGUUCUUCUCAGAAAGAAAGAAAAUUCAUCAUAACAACUGGAUUGGGCUCCUCUCUAGUACUCAUUCCUUCUAGUUUUCCUUAUCCAUCGUUUGGUACACAGAAAUAUCCAAAAUGUUAACGACUCACAAGAAUCCGCAGCAAUUUCCUUGAUUGUAAAUUAACCUUGACGACAAUAAAGAUGUGAAUUAAUGACUUGCAAGAAUCUGCAGCAAUUUCCUGAAUUGCAAAUUUACCUUGAUGACAGCAGAGAUAACAUGUCAUGUCAAACUAAAGCAGCGUACAACAGUAAGGAUUGAGAUCCUCUACCGUCAAAUUAGUAAAUGCAAAGUGCCGUUAAAGGUAGGAAAUGGGGUAUUUUGAAAUUGAAUGGAGGAGAUUAAAGGUCAAACGCUAAUUUUAAUGUGUCAAAAAAGUUUGUUGUGUUUUUUCACUUUAUUGUAUUAUCGUUCAUAUUUAUUAUGUUAGUAUCUACAUCAAUUAUGUCAUUAUUGUCCGCACUGUCUUCAAUACCAAUGACAGCAGAACCCCCUAAAAACAUGCUUGAAUAUCAGCCAAUAUUCAGGCCCCAUAUCAUAUGCAUGUGUAUCAGCUUGUAUAGCAUAAAAAUUUAAGAAGUCUUACAGUAACCAGCACAACAAUCAUAAAUUUAAAAAAAGCAAUGAAGAAAAAGAACAAAACCAACAAAAGGGCUCCCAUUGCAAUCGAAAACAUGACCGAAAAGGCUUAAAGAAGGAAUGAAUCAGGGAAAAGAAGAAUGAGUGAUAGUAUUAUUAGCUGACCAGAAUUGAACUUAGAGUAGUUAUCAGUUACUGGUCUGCGGCUGAUGAAGAGUAGACAAGAUUUUACGAGAGGGGCAGGGAAUCCCUUAUCAGCUAUGACACGGGUUGGAAAGAUAGGACUGAAUGGGAAGUUGCGGACAACAAAUCCAGUCACAUUUUAGUAUUGGAAUCCAAACACAUCCUGGAGGAAGUUUUUUAAUGCUAGCACGAAUGCUCCACUCAUGUUUUAUUGUAAACAAAUAGCAAAUUAAAAAAAAAAAAAAAAACAAAGCAAUAGUACUUUUACGAUUUUUCAAUGGCCAAGUAAACAAAGGUAUUAUGACAUUCAAUCAGCAUAAGCAGCAAUUUUGUCCAUUAUCUCUGCAACAAUCUCUUAGACUCCCUCAGCAACUUGAUGCUUGCAUUCAUCUGUAACGUUUACCAGCAAUAGAUGGAGAUUCCUCCAGCAUCCGUUCCAAUGCACCCCUGUGAGUUCCCAUUAACUCAUUCACCAUUUCGGUUUCCAUGUCUUUGUUCACCAGAUUUUGGAUGCUGAAAGAGUAAAUGCAAAGCCAUGCUAUCAACAACUCCUCAGGACAAUCUUCCAAUAAGCAGUCAUCCUCAUUUUCAGAUCAAAAGCUUGUUGUGCAACGACCAGAUGAUUUCUCAGAUGCCCGACUUCAACCUCACCAAUUCCAUCAAUCUCUAGAGUUGUUGAUUUCGUACAAUCAUUCAUAGAUCAUGAACCUGAACCUGUCCUGGCUUUCAUCAGAUCAUGCCAGGUUGCAGAGUACUCAGGAUUACAAGUAUAAUCAGGUGAGUUUUUCUCCAUUUCGAUAAUCUGCAAUACCCAAUCAACUGACUGCUCCUUUUUUGGAAACAAGACUUUGGGCAGCUCUUCUGAUUGAAGGUUGAAGUUGUGGGUAGUUGUCAGAGUGCUUCAUCAAGACAGAACUAACACCCCUUGUAAAUACUCCCAAAACUUGUUCACAAAUCCUGCUGGUGUAGCGGAAAUGGCCUGACCAUUUUUUGUAGUGAAGUGAGAAAAGCUGUGCGAUGAAGGAAAUUAGGUAAGCUUAUACCUUUAGCUUCCUCCAGGAUGCUAAUCUCUUCCUCCAAGAACUUCUGCUUUUGUUCAACUUUGAUAGAGAUGAACUGCAAAUCCCAUAGUAAUCGCUCAGCAUCUCUGCCAGUCUAGCAGUACAAUGCAUUUCUUUUUCAUCUGGAUACUCAUCGAAUUCCCCUCUGAUAAAUAUUUUUCUCAGUGACUCUUUGGCUGAAGAUAUGAUACGCAUAAAAGCAGUGACUGCUUCAGGAACUGAGUGCAACUGUUGUGGCAACUUGUUCAGCUCUGCAACACUUGCAGUUAGCUUGUCAUUGAUCUUUCUCACAAUAUCUGGCAAGCAUUUUGAAAUUAUAGUUGCCUGAAUUUGCACCAGUUUCUGGGCUAAAACAGGAAUGCCAACCAUAGACUUGUGGAUCUUGGACAGCAACGGAUGUGUUUCAAAAAGCGUAGCUUCUACAGCUCGAGCUUCCUCGUAUGAUUCAUCUCCAAUUCGAUUUCUCACACAGACGUAUCCAAGUUCAAUAUUCACAUCAUCAGCCGUUACCUUCUCGAGCAAGCCUUCAGGGGAUUUGUCUGCCUUGGUGACAACUGCCAGAGUUCUUUCACCCAUUUUGUCAACUUUUUGGGACAUCCGAAUUGAUUCACAAGUAGAAAAAUCAACAGUAGCUGAUAAAACAUUGAGUAUUAUGCUUUCUUCUGGUUUAAUAUACUCCAUAAUGAUUGCUGAUAUUUGCUCAUAGAUGUCUUCAGGCUGCCCGUGAACUGGAACUCUAGUAAUCCCAGGUAAAUCCACCAUAGUAAGAUCAGGGACCCCAUUCUUCUUAACAAUCAAAGUCAGGGGAACAUUUGAUAUUCCCUUGCUUCUGCCAGCAAUCUCAUCAGUUGCAACGCUGAUGGCCUGAGCAAUAUGGUCCUCAUCGGUUGGAACAACUCUUCCGUUAAACUCCAAGCUCACCUCUGGCUUGGGACUGGGAUGACUUUGCAGCCUCAUAAUCAAGGGAACCCUUGUGCAGAUCCCUUGCCCUCUAGGUAGGCUAAUGCCAGCCAGUGACUCUAGAACGCUAGACUUUCCUGAAGAUUGAUCUCAACAACAACAAUUGUUGGAAGCUGGAUUCCUUCUUGCAUGACUUUAAGGUUUCGUAGCCUGUCUAUGCAGUCCAGCAAUGGCCUAAUGCGUUCAUUGUAGGAUGAUACGAUGGGGCUAGCGUUUCUUCUUGAACAGCUUGAACGAGGUCUUUGAUCAUGGACAGCUCGAACGAGUUCUUUGGUGAUUUCUUCAGAAACAACAUUGGAGCCGCUGCUUAGUACACUCAUGUGUAAUUUCUCGUGGUUGUUGGUUUUGAGUGUUUCUAUUAUAUUGUCGCUGGUAAAAAGAUUCGGAACUUGGAAGGGAAAAAGGAGAUGAAAGAGCAAGAGAUUUUCAGAUUUGGUGAUAGGAAAUUUGGAUUUGUGGAUACUUUAUAGGUGAUUUUUUAUGUUGAUCUCAGUACCAUCUCUUUUCUUGGAUGAAAUACGGUGUUCCAAGAAUUGAGAUAGAAAUACGAAAUCUAUGAAAUUAGUUAAAUGAUCAACCAAGCAAAACAAUAGCAUCUUUUGAAGUAGUUAACUCCAAGGUAAAUCAGCACAGAUUCCUUAACUCGCUCUGCAGGGUGGAAAGCUGAUGCUUGACUUGCUUUUCUCUCAUCCUUUGCCAACUGGAAAGUAAAAGUUCAUCGAAAAUCAGCUAUAACCCUUCGAUUGAUCAGCAGACUAAUUAGCAGUGUAAGAUAGAAUUACUUUGUUAUAUCAUACCCAAAUUAAUCGUGACAAUCAAAAGACUUGGGAGGUCAUUAAAUUGUUCUUUUCCUUCAACUUUACGUCAUACUUGUGCUUCACCAUUUGCGUCAUGGGAUCCAAUAAUGAGUGUACUAUUGUUAAUUUAUUAUUCCUUCUGGUGGAAAUUGGAAACAAGCUAGUGGGAUCAAUUGACUUCUUUUCUUUGGCCAUGACAAAGGAAAAUGUUCGAUCUUACAAAGGUAGGCAAACAUGGAAAAAGCUUGCACCCCCGCUCUUUCGCCUCACAAUCCAAGUAGCUAUCACCAUUUAGGGGGAAUUAUUUGACAGUCUUUUGUGUUUGAAUUGAUUUUUCUGAAUUUUGUAAAAAAAUUAUUGUAACGAUUUGAUAAGUGUGAAAUAAAAAGGUGAUUCGGAAUUGUGUUUACGGAACCCCACAAUCCAAAGUAGCUAUCACGUUUAGGGUGAAUUAUUUGACAGUCAUUUUGUGUUUGGAUUGCAUUUUUCUGAAUUUUUUAUAGAAAAAUUAUUGUAACGAUUUGAUAUAUAUGAGAUAAAAGGUGAUUCGGAAUUGUGUUCACGGAAAACAUUCUAAUGCAAUCAUUCACGGAAUUGUGUUCACGCAAUUUUUCCAAACAUUCUAAUGCAAUUAAGAUUAAUGUGAAGAAUCCUAUUCCUAGGCUGUAAGAACUAAGAAGACCGAAAAACAUAAUGCAUAAAAUAGUCAAUUGUUUUCUAACGCAAUUAUAUUGUAUUCUUUACGUUAGCUGAAGAAUGAAGAGGUUUUUAACAUUAACAAUUGUGCUUAUUUCUUCUUUCUUCACGAGUCUUUUAACUUUCACUUAUGAUAAGUUAGAGGAAAAAUGGCCAAUUUUGUCCUUAAUUUUUUUAAGGGUGCUAAUUUAGUCCCUAACUUUUAUUUCUGAUCAAUAUGAUAUUUGAACUUAUGGUGCAUCACUAGUUAAAAACGAUCUUACUUCUCAUUGGCUAAUUAAAUAGUGGUAUUACGAGAACAUUACUCACGAGAAUGUAAUAAAACAAGCAAAUCGUCUAAAAAAUCACUAAUAAAACUUUUAAAUUGUGUAAAAAAAUCACCAAAUAAACUUUUUAAAGUUUAAUCUUGUGACUUUUUACUAUACAGUUUCGUAAGUGACGUUUUCAAAAUAUCUUCUUUAGUUGGUCAAUUAGGAGUCAGAUUGGUUUUAGGUGGCACCGCCACCAUGAAGGUCCUUAAUUGGAACUGCAAUUAAGUUCGCAUAUUAAAUUGAUUAGAAAUAAAAGUUAGAAACUAGACGGCACUAGUAAAAAGUUUAGAACGAAAUUGGUCAUUUUCCCUAAAAGAUAAGACUGGAACAUAUUUGUUGAAUCAGUCCAGCUAUGUGUAAGUUUCAAGUCUUCCCAAGUCUUCAAUAGUAAUGUGAUUACGACUAAAUAGCAUAGUACCUAUAUCUAGUGGUUUUCUUGAUUGAAUUAACUCAGAGAAAGAAAACUAUAAUAUUGUCUCAUUACAUUAACUACAUGGCUAGUCUAGCCAAGCAUGGCAAAUUACAGAUCUUCGGGCAAACUUUGGCAAUUUAAAAGGUCUUGUUUAUAUUGAAGAUUUUUUGUAGAAAAAUUUUUACGUUUUUCGUGAUUUCAUUUUUCGGAUACUUUUUUAUCUCGCAUACAUCAAAUUGUUAUAGUAUAUUUUUUGCUUAAAAUUCAAAAAAUGAUGAUCUAAACGAGACCUAAGUAUGUGUAUAGACUAAUUGGCUAACUUCUUCAAAAUUUUUGUGUACUUGAUUUGGCGGAUUUAUUAUUCUAUCAAAGAGAUUCGAUGAACACGAUUAUGAUGUGCAUGGACACGAAGCUCACGAUCAAGGCUAAAUAAUCAGUUAAUUGCAACGAAAAUGUAGAUGUCUCUACAAUAUAUAUACACUAUUUCUUUACAACAUUAAUAUUCCCUUGAGUCCUACCCUUGUGUAAUACUAGUAUUAGUUUUGUGAACCAAUGUAAAAAAAAAAAAAACAAUAUAGUCAAAUAUCCUCUAGUAUUAGUUUCGCUUGAACAAUAGUCGUUUCUCUUACCCAAACAAGAGGACUAUAUAAUCCUAAUAUUCUAACAAUGAGAAAUAAAUUACUCCCUCCGUCUCAAUUAUUUUGUCAUGUUUCGAGAAUCCAAUAUUCUAAAAAUAGUGAUUUAAUUAUGAUGCUUGUAUUUUUUUUCUCAAUUUUACUCCCACAAAUUCAAAAUAUGAAUUUGAAUAAUAAUAUGUAUAUGCUUAAAGGGAGGAACUAUAUUGGAAGUAGAGACUAAAUAAUGUUUUAACUUUCUGAACAUUACAAAUACUUUGAGACAUUCCAAAAUGAAAAAUAUGACAUUUCUACGAAACGGAUGGAGUAAUUCGUACCGAACAAAAAGUCUAGCCAAAAUAUCCAAUACAUGAUGUGAUAGCUCAAUCUUCCUUAGGGCGUACGCUAAGGUUAGCGGAUUGUCUGCUCAACUCUCGUCAGGAUUAACUAAUCCAAAAUUUUCAGUAGGUAUUAAAACAAACAACAUAAUUUCAAAACACCGCAACCUAAAGUUAUAUACAAUUCAAGCUUAAAAUACAAGUUAAAAUAUUUAAUUUUAUACAAAUACAUAUAAGGUUUAUUAAUACAGAAGAGUUUAAACAAAAUGUCUAAGGUUUAAACCUAGCUCAACUCUUUCCCAAAAUCACCAACCCAAAUCUUUGCCCCUGAAAGGAAAACAAGGAUAACGGAAUGAGCUUUCGCCAAUGUGAUACCACAGGUUACGCAAUCAAAAAUCACAUAAUUCGAACUUUAAACUAUCAAAUAUAAGCACCAAUUAGGGAGAUAAGUAAACACCACAACUAACACAAAGUGCUUCAAAUAAAAAGAUACAGUUGGCUCUCAGGAGCCAAAUUCUCAAUCGCAUUAGUUUGAUCCAAAUCCGUUGACACUCCGUCAACGUUUACAGAAACAGAAAUAUUGACCGUAGAUCCCUGCUUUACACCAGUUUCCGUCUACCAAUCAUACCGUUACCUGGUCCAAACACCAAACAGAAACAGUGGUGGUAAUAUUCGAGUAUAUCAAAUAUCAGAAGAAUUCAAACUCUGAUACCACCUAUGACGACCCCACCUUCCCCUAGGACGUGGCCUAGAGGUUAGCGAACCACCUGCCCAACUCUUGCCAAGACUCACUCACUAACAUUAAUUUCAGAGAUCACAUUAACUCCAAAGUAAGCACGAAACUCUCUAAGAAAUGUUACAAAUCAUCCAACUUCAUAAAACAUCCAUACUUAGGUGGACAACUAAACAGAUCAAAAUACAAGUAGUUCAAUCAAAUCACUAAAUAUAAAUAGGAUGGCAUUUACUUAAAAUGAGGACUACAACUUUUCAACUCACUAUUUUUUGGAUAUCAAAUCAAUAACACCAUAAUUUUUCAAUAUAGCAUCUAUAAGCUACAAAUCGUCCAAAUACACAAAUCAAAGUACAAACCAAAAGAUAAGAACUUGAACAUCUAGUAUCAUAGUACAAUGUCAGCCAAAUACAAGUUUAAAAUUUCUAUUACAACUAGUACUAUUCUUGUCUCUUUCAUCCCCACACCCUGCUAAGGAAAACAAAUAAAGGGAUAAGGUAAAAAUCUAGUGAGGUUUCAAGUAUCAUGCAAGCAAAGUACCAAUCUUAGAGCAAGUAAGAAAAUGGUAACUAAAUAAAACAAUAACAAGCAACUAGGAAACAAGUAGCACUUUCAAAUCGAAGGAUACAUUUCCCUCAUAUUGGCUGCUUAACUCGUAAUCGUUGACAUUCCGUAAACCUUGGAAUACACUGUCAAGUCUAGUAGAUCACCACUUCACACCAUCUCCAACCACCGAUCAUCCGCCUUACCGAGCCAGCACGCCAAUCAAGUACAAGUGGGAUAAUACUCGAAUAUACCAAGGCCAAUAACAAGAUAUAAGACCCAUGGUUUAUCGGUCACCUUGACCAAAUCCUUACUGGCUCGAUUUGACCAACUAACCAAUGGGGAUGGGAUCCCAAAACAAGUAUAGUCGGUGAAAUAAUAACUCCAACCGGCUUUCAAGUCAUGCACGGAUAUAUCGGUUCACAAGUAAACAAGUCAACAAAAAUUCAAACAAGUUAGUUGAGUGCGAUAAAGUACACAUUCGCCUUUUCAAUAUCAAAUCAAGAUAUCUAGUAACAAGUCACAUAGUUCAAGUCAUGCAGUUGAAACACUCACCAAAAUAAAUGGACAAUCACAUCUCGAUUUUAGGAUUUUCUUAACUCACUACUGACUCUUGAAACACAUCCAAGCUAUAAUUACACUUAUCAUCUUGAUCAAAACAAGUAAAAAACACAGAAGAUCCAAUUUUAAAGUUAUCAAACGUGUAGGUUAAAAGGUAUAGGAUUUUGCAACCAAAUGCAUGAAUAUAAGUGUGAGGAUCAAAAACAACCUAAGAGGGGGGUGAAUUAGGUAGGUUGAAAAUUGGCCAAAUUAUGAGUCACUUUUUGAGUACUUGCCCUCUUUUUCUAAAAGACCACACAAUGGAGCAAUGAAUGAGAAAGCACAAGUGCUUAUGAGUAGAAGAGAUGAGCAAUUUAUUUAUCAAGAUAGAAAGUAAAAGAGAUAGAGUAUCAAGCCAAAUACCAAACUCCUCUUGAGUUUGAAUGUCACUUUAAAGAGCAAGCUUCUUCAAGUUGAUCAACUUACAACCAAUCUUUUGUGUACAAAGGAAGGAUCACUUCCUCCUUGCCCCAAGCCACACUUGGUCAAGCAAGGAAGUUUUACUAUUACUCGGAUAACCCUCACAGAGCUACACUUUAAAUGUUGUUCAGAAGAUUAAUGGCAAAGAAGUGGAUCUGUCCUUAAUUGGUAACCACAUUCACUGUUGGACGAUUUUGGCUUCAUUAAAAUCACACAUGUGAAGAGACCAAAUAAUGUACCUGCCCAUAUUAUGUCAAAAUUGGCUUUGUUUCUUGAAGAAAGUAGUGUUUGGUUUGUAAACUUUCCCAAGAUAGUAACUGAAGCUGCUCUUGCAGAUUUGGUACAAAUGAAUAUGUUUCUGUUGCUUCAAAAAAAAAAGAGCAAAUUUAAGGGAAAAAAAAACAACAACAACGACAAAGCAAUGGUACUUUUAUGAUUUAUCAAACGGCAAAGAAAACAAAGGUAUUAUGACCAAUCUAAUCAGCAUAAGCAGCAAUAUUGUCCAUUAUCUCUGCAACAAUCUCUUUAGACUCCCUCAGCAACUUGAUGCUUCUAUUCAAUCUGUAACGUUUAUCAGCAAUAGAUGGAGAUUCCUCCAGCAUCCGCUCCAAUCCACCCCCGUGAUGUCCUAUUAACUCAUUCACCAUUUUGGUUUCCAUGUCUUUGUUCACCAGCUUUUGGAUGCUGAAGAGUAAAUGCAAAGCCAUGCUAUCAACCAACCUCCUCAGAACAAUCUUCCAAUAAGCAAUCAUCCUCAUUUUCAGGUCAAAAGCUUGUUCUGCAACAACCAGAUGUUUUCUCAGAUGCCCGACUUCAACCUCACCAAUUCCAUUAAUCUCUAGAGUUGUUGUCUUCCAACGAUCAUUGAUAAUGUCCAUGAAUGUGUCCUGGCUUUCCAUCAGCUUAUGCCAGGUUGCAGUGUACUCAGGAUUACAAGUAUAAUCAGUGAGUUUCUCCAUUUCGAUGAUCUGCAGUACCCAAUCAAUUGACUGCUCCCUUUUUUCGGAAACAAGAUUUUGGGCAGCUCUUCUGAUUGAAGACUGAAGUUGUGGUAGUUUUCAGAGUGCUUCAUCAAGACAGGAACAAACACCCCUUGUAAAUACUCCCAAAACUGCUUCACAAAUUUAGCUGGUGUAGCAGAAAUGGCAUUGACCAUUUUUUGCAGUGAAGUGAGAAAAGCAGUGCGCUGAAGGAAAUUAGGUAAGCUUAUACCUUUAGCUUCCUCCAAGAUGCUAAUCUCUUCCUCCAAGAACUUCUGCUUUUGUUCAACUUUGAUAGAAAUGAACUGCAAAUCGUCAGAGUAAUUACUCAGCAUCUCUGCCAGUCUAGCAGUACAAUGCAUUUCUGUUUCACCAGGAUACUCAUCAAAUUCGCCUCUGAUAAAUAUUUUUCUCAGUGACUCUUUGGCUGAAGAAAUGAUACACAUAAAAGCAGCGACUGCUUCAGGAACUGAUUUUAUGUGUUGUGGCAACUUGUUCAGCUCUUCUACACUUGCAGUUAGCUUGUCAGUAAUCUUGCUCACAAUCUCCGGCAAGCAUUUUGAAAUUAUAGUUGCCUGAAUUUGCACCAAUUUCUGUGCUAAAACAGGAAUGCCAACCAUAGACUUGUUGAUCUUGGACAGCAGCGGAUGUAUUUCGAAAAGCAUAGCUUCUUCAGCUCGAGCUUCCUCGUAUGAUUCCUGGCCAAUAUGAUUUCUCACGCAGACAUAUCCAAGCCCAAUGUUCACAUCAUCAGCUGUUACCUUCUCAAGCAAGCCUUCGGGGGUUAUGUCUGCCUUCGUGACAACUGCUAGUGUUCUUUCGCCUGUUUUGUCAACUUUUUGGGACAUCCGAAUUGAUUCACAAGUCGAAAAAUCAACAGUAGCUGAUAAAACAUUGAGUAUUAUGCUUUCUUCUGGUUUAAUAUACUCCAUAAUGAUUGCUGAUAUUUGCUCGUAGAUGUCUUGAGGCUGCCCGUGAACUGGAACUCUAGUAAUCCCAGGUAAAUCCACCAUGGUAAGAUCAGGGACACCAUUCUUUUUAACAGUCAAAGUCAAGGGAACAUUUGAUAUUCCCUUUCUUUUGCCUGCAAUCUCAUCAGUUGCAACGCUGAUGGCCUCAGCAAUAUGGUCCUCAUCGGUUGGAACAACUCUUCCACUGAACUCCAAGCUCAGCUCUGGCUCGGAACUAGGAUGACUUUGCAGCCUCAUAAUCAAGGGAACCCUUGUGCAGAUCCCUUGCCCUCUAGGUAGGCUAAUGCCAGCCAGUGACUCUAGAACGCUAGACUUUCCUGAAGAUUGAUCUCCAACAACAACAAUUGUUGGAAGCUGGAUUCCUCUUGCAUGAGUUUAAGGUUUCGUAGCCUGUCUACACAGUCAAGCAAUGGCCUAAUGCGUUCAUUAUAGGAUGAUACGAUGGGGCUUGGAUUGCAAUGGUUGGAUUGCAAGUGGUCCUUCUUCAUGAUGACCAACGAGGCUUUGAGAUUGCCGAUCCCUUUGCUGAAUGCCCUCAUGUUUAAUUUUCUUGUGGUUGUUGGUUUUGAGAGUUUCUGUUAUAUUGUCGCAGGUAAAAAGAUUGGGAACUUGGAAGGGAAGAGGAGAUGAAUGAGCAAGAUAUUCUCAGGUAUGUUAUAGCAAAUGUGGAUCAGUGGAUGAAUUUAUAGGUGGUUUCUGAUGUUGAUCUCAGUACUAUCACUUUUCCUGGAUACUCAAAAAAAAAAAAAAGAAAUAAGAUGUUCAAGAAUUGAGAUAGAAGAAAUCUAUGAAAAAAAAAUUAAAUGAUCAACCAAGCAAAACAAUAAUUCAGUUUCAACAUUUUUUAAAGUAGUUCAAUUCCAAAAGGUAAACGGCACAAAUUCCUUAAAGCAGUUCAAUUCCAAAAAGGUAAAACGGCACAAAUUCCUUAAUUCAGCUUCAACAUUUUUAGCUUUACAAAGUGUAAGACUGACGCUUGACUCAUCAGGAAAAUAAAUUCAUCAAGAAUCAGCUAAAAACGCUUUGAUGAUCAGUAGCCUAAUCACUGGUGCAAGAUAGAAUUGCCUGUUACAUCACACCCUAAUUAAUCGUGAUAAUCAAAAGACUUCAAGAUAAUUAAUUUGCCCUUUUACUUCAAGCUUAUGUCAUACAUGUGCUUCACCAUUACUUGAGGAAUCCAUUGCUCCAUGGGAUCCAAUAAUCAGUGUACUAUUAUUCCUGGUGUAAACACACUAGUGGGAUCAAUUGACUUCUUUGGAAACGCUUGAAGAAUUAACACCGUCCAUGCCAAAGGAAAGAGUUCGAUCAUUUCCCAUGACAAAGGAAUAGGGUUCGAUCGUACAAAGGUAGGCAACCAUGAAAAUGCUUGCUGUGGUAAAAGUUCUGUACCUUUAGACUCUUUUGAAUAAUAUCACAGCAUAAAGUGCAACAUGGGGAUAUGAAUUGAUUUGUAUACUAUUACUCCUUUCGUUCCAUUUAAAUGUCAUACUUUUCAUUUUGUAAUAUUUUAAAAUGUUUAUUAUAUUGAGAAAGUCAAAACACUUUUUAGUCGCUCCUUUCGAUACAGUCCAUCCCUUUAAUCAUAUGUAUGUUAUUAUUCAAAUUCAAAAUUUGAAUUUGUUAGGGUAAAAUUGAAAAGAGAAGUACAAAUAUCACAAUUAAAUCACUAUUAUUAAGAGGUUGGAUUCUCGAAACAUGACAAAUUAAUUGAGAUGGAGGGAGUACAUCAUAUAAUAUUGGUAGUAGUUUCUUUGAAUUUUUCAGGAUUAUACUUUCAUCACGUGUCUGUAACAUUUUUGUUUUUGGUCUUUACGUCUAUAAUUAAAUGCAGUAACUCUUUAUGCCCCUCAUAAAAAUUCUCAGAAUAUGACAUUUAUAGCUUUUGCACUACAAAAUUCCUCUGUGGCAUUAUCCAUACAUUUUAUGCUAAAAGUAUGCUUGGGAAGUUCAUGCGAAGAUAAGUCACAUAAGUUAGGAGAAGAAUGAACAUCUUCUUAUUCUUUUUACAUUGUCUUGUCACUCAACAAGUCUUCCUCAUAUAGUCUUCUCCCUUUUCAUUUUUCACAUUGUUUGCUUUUCAGUUCUUCUUACUUCUUAGGCCUCGUUUGAGAUUGCAGUGCAUUUUCAAAAAAAUGUGCUUUUAAGCACUAAAAAUAUUUUAAAGGUGUUUGAUAACUAAUUUCUCCUAAUUUAAAGAGGCCAAUUUUUAGUAACCUAAAACACUUUGUUAAAAGCACUUAUACAAAAAUGUUUCUUUAUAGCAACCGCAAACAGAGCCUUAAUCAUGUAUAAUCGCCUGUGAGAGUUGUUAUCACAGGGGAGAAGUGGGAAUAAAAGAGAAGCAUAAAUCCUCGUAUGAGAGUUGUUAUCAUAGGGCUACAAUUUUCCCAUCCCAUAUUUGAACUCUCUCUAUUUGAGAGCUUCUCUCUCUAGUUUGAGAGCUUCCCUCCUGCGAUAGGAGUUUUCAAAUUUCGAAAGCCAGUGGCAACCUAAAAAAGAAAGAAAUCUGAGAUUCAGAGUAAAGAAUAGUGACUCUUCAACUUCCGUACAACUACAAGCAUCCAAAUAUAGCAAUAAUAACCCUUUGGUGUGUUUACGCCUCUAUUUUUCUGGUGUGAAAAUGGUCAUGAUCCCGGGAACUGUAGAAGGAUGCUAACCGUAGAGGAUAUCGGUGUGUGUGUUAGAAGAAUCUGAGUGGGUUGGGUAGAGGUCUUGUUUAGUUUUUCAGCUUGUACUUGGUUUUCUAAGCUUUCCCGUACCUUGUGUUCUUCUACUCUGUUUUGCAGGUUUAUGCAACUGGAGUUCCGCGAAAGGAAAUAGUGCAAAGGUGGUGUCAAGUAGCUGGAUUUCUAGUAGAUGGAUGAGGAGUUAGCUCGUGCUUUCGGCAAAUUCAAGCUCUCUACAACGGAGCUGGAAGGGGUAGAUCUCUGUUCGGAUGAUGUUAGAGAGGGUAUGCAAGAAUGUAGUAGGAGCCUAGUUGGAAGGGUGAUAGGUGAUAAGGUGGCACAUUUUACAGGGGUUAAAACUUUACCUACCAUGCUUGGGGUAUCCCAGAAACAUGGUUGUAACUGAGCUAGGACCUAACCUCUUUCAAUUCCAGUUUGAAAAUGAAGAUGACCGUGAAAAAGUGCUGGUGGAGGGCCGUGGAUUCUGGACAAUCAGAUCCUUGUGAUAAAAGAAUGGGAGAUGGGAUGUGAAAGAAAGCUUCACUACUUUAGAUAUGCUUACUUAUGGGUACAGAUCUGGAAUCUUCCAGUCCACUGGUUGUGUAGAACAAUGGGUUUUAAGUUAGGGAAACUCUUUAGAUCAGUAAGGGAGGUAAUUUGUCCACCAGGGGGAAGAAGGCAGGCAUAUGAAGAUAAUGGCAGAGGUUGAUGUACUACAACCCCUCCCGAGAGGAACCUUGGUGAAGCUGGAAGGAGUGAACACCUGGGUGGAGUUUAAAUAUGAGCGAUGUCCGGACUUUUGCUAUAAUUGUGGAAUAAUAGGCCACGGGGACAGGUCUUGUAAUGGGGAAAGGAAGGAUGGGCAGUCUGGUCGGGAAGGUCAAUAUGGUGCUUGGAUGAGAGCAGGGAACAUUAUGGCAUCUCCCUUGAGAGUUUACAAAGGGACGGAAAUAGAGGUAAAAUAAAGGGGUAUGUGGUAUCUAGGGGAACAAAGAUUCUGGAAUUAAGGCUGGAGCAGCUAGGGAGAAAGGUUCUGGGGGAAUGGUUGAUAUGGGUAGUAGAGGGAGUGAUAAGGUGGGUAAGAAUAGUGACCAAAAAAGGAAGUAAUUGAGAGGAAAUGGAGAGAGUUCUGAGAGAGAAACAAUGAGCUAGAAAAAAAGUGAAAAAGGGGAUGGGGAUAGGGAAAACAAUUAAAGGGGAAAGAGUCAAGAGAAAAGAAAAUAUAGAAAUAUGUAAGGUGAUAGUGGACCUGGGACAAGUAAGAACAGGAAGGACGAUCAUAGUGCAGUGGACAUGGUGGUCGAGGUUUCUCAGAGAAGGAGGUGAAGGACAAAAUUGAAAAAGGGGGUAUGAUAAUUCAUGCUGCUGAAACUGGAAAGAAUGGGUGCGAUCACCAGUUAAUGAAAGCAAACAAGGGGGAAAAUGGAGGAGGAGUUUGCGGAAUAAAAAGUACCUUUAAGAGACAUAACAGGUAGUAGGAUAGUGAGCAGUUUGGAGAAAAAGAAAAAUGCAGGAUGAUAAACAAAAGGCUGGAACCUCAUGGAGGAGGACUUUGAAGAAGGCUCAAAACACAAGCUGGUAAAAAAGGGACGGAAAAUGCUGCCCAACAGGGAGGGGAAUUGGAGGCUAGCCCACAAUGCCUCCACUCAACACAAUGAAGGUGGCGGUGUGGAAUUGUCGAGGUGCAGGACCUUGACAAUUCCCAACUGAAGGAGGUACUUCACCUACUUCCUAAUAUCAUGUUUUUGUGUGAAACAAAAAACCAGGAAAGAUAUAUGAAACAAGUUCAAAAAAGAGUUAAUUUUGAGAAUAGCUUUGUUGUGAAUCCUAAGGGUAGAGUUGGGGGGUUAGCUUUGUUUUGGAAGGAGGAUGUGGUACUGCUGGAUGUACAAGGUUUUUGGUACAUUGCAGUGAGGGUAGUAGAUAAGGAAACAAAUGAUGACUAGUGGUCUGGUAGGAAUUUAUGCAAGUACGGAGGAUAGAGUUAGGAAACAUCAAUGGAAAACAAUAGAGAAAAAAAAGGGAAUGGGGUGAGAAAUAGGCUGUUAAGGGUGAUUUUAAUGAUAUUUGCUCUAAUGGAGAGAAAUGGGGAGGGAGAGAAAGAUUCGAGUAGCUUUAGGACUUUAAUAACUUAUUUCUGGAAUGAGUUGGUGGAUAUAGGGUUUGUAGGGUCCCUUGGACAUGGAGUAAUACAUGGGACGGGAGGGGGAGGUAAAGGAGAGGUUGGACAGAUGUUUAGGGAGUGUUGGAUGGAUGCAGUUAUAUGAAAAUGUGACUUGUGAGCAUAUUGAAAAGAGGCAUCUGAUACUGCCUCCUUAUGGUGGACACGAACCCGCAACAAAGGAGAGGUAAAAGAAGGUUUUUCUUUGACCAAAGAUGGCAAAAGACAAAGCAUCUGAAUGGUAAUUAAAACAGCUUGGGGAGAGAACAACAUGGAUCCAGAAUGUUUAAAGUAGUGAGAAGAAUUAAGGAGUGCAGAUUAGCAUUGAUCGAUUGGAACAGGACAGCCAAGGUAAUGCAAAGGCAAAAAUCCAGGAGAUAAAGAGCAACUGAAGGUAACAAAAGAGCAGGCGGAUGAGCGGUGCAAUAAGGGAGUCAUUACAACUUUAAAGCUUCAGUUAAGCAAAGCCUAUAAGGACGAGGAGCUAUAUUGGAGUCAGAAAUCAAGAAGUAGAUGGCUCAAGAGGGGACAAAAACACUGCUUACUUUCACCAAAGUGUCAUGGCUAAAGGAAACGAAACAGGAUCAGCAUCCUCCAGAAAACUGAUGGGGAGUGGUGUAGGAGUGACCAGGAAAUUGAGGACGAAUUGUGUACACACUAUAAGGAGCUCUUCACCUCCAAUAACCCAAUAGAAUUUGAUGAAGUGCUACAAGGCAUACCGCGCACUAUUUCCAAUCUCAUGAACGCACAGUUGAUUAAACCUGUGGAUGAGUUGGAGAUCAAACAACCAUUUUCUCUAUGUUUCCUAACAAAUUUCUGGGUUGAUGGUAUGUCCCCGUGUUUUUUCAAACAUACUGGAACAUAAUCAAGAUGAUAUUGUCAAUGCCAUUACUAGCUUUUUCAUACGGGCAAUCUCCUUAAGUCUAUUAAUGAGACCAUCAUUUCCUAAUCCCCAAGGUUGAUAACCCUGUGAUGCUAACUAAUUCAGACCUAUUAGUCUAUCCAAUGUUUUGUACAAAACCAUUUCCAAGCUGUUGGUUAAUAGACUGAAAAAAAGUUCUUAAGCACUGCAUUAGUCCAUCUCAAUCUGCUUUUGUUUAGGCAGACAAAUUCUUGACAAUUUAUCAUUGCUCAUGAACUUUUACAUUUCUGAAAAGCAAGAGAUCUGGUAAAGUAGGCUUCAUGACCAUUAAGCUUGAUAUGUCUAAAGCUUAUGAUAGAGUGAGUGAAAUUUCUUGUAGAAUUAUGAUGCACAUGGGUUUUUGUCCUACUUUUGUUCAAUGGAUCAUGACUUGUAUUUCCACUGUUUCUUACUCUUUAAUUUGAAUGGACAAAAGAUGGGAUGUGUCAAACCUUCCAGAGGGAUUAGACAAGGAGAUCCUCUAUCUCCUUAUUUGUUUAUCAUAUGUACUGAAGGACUCUCAAAUUUACUCAAGAAAGUUGUGGAUAAUAAGUAUCUAAUUGGUAUAAAAAUCUGCAAAGACAGCCCCAUGGUGUCUCAUUUAUUUUUUGCAGAUGACUCCCUCUUGUGUUGUAAAGCUAGCAAACAAGAAGCUCAGAAGAUCAAGGAGAUAAUUCAGCUUUACAGUCAAGCAACUGGAUAGGUGGUAAAUUUUGUCAAAUCUACCAUAUUUUUUACUAGAAAUACUCCAUGAUGCUUAGAGGGGAAAUUAGUGAGGUGUUGGACAAUAUGAGGGAAGCUCACAGUGGUAAAUAUCUAGGUCUUCCGAUGACCAUUAGGAGAGCUAAAAACAGGUUUUUUGGUAUUUGUUCAGUAACAUUAGUAGUAAGCUUCAAGGAUGGAAACAAAAGUUGCUUAGCCAAGGGGUAAAGAGGUUUUGAUCAAAUCAGUCAUCAUGGCUAUGCAUACAUACAUUAUCUUGCUUUAAAAUACCCAAAAGUUUGUGCAAAACCAUUAGUGCUAGAAUCGCAAGGUACUGGUGGGGUGAUACCUCAAUUAUAAGACCGCAAAGAUAUAAAUAUUCUAGCUAACAGUGCAACUAAACGCAGCCAAUGUGAUGACAAUUAGUCAAAACUAAUAGAAACUCAGUUCUAAGACCUAAAGAUCAAAGUACAGGAAACGUAACCUGUUCAAAGAAAAUACACGGUAAGGGAGGCUGAAGAGGGAAGGCGUAGUAAUGUAUAAGAAUAAUCUCAGCUUAACCUUAUGCUUAAAAUCAACACGCUUGUCACCCAGGUUCCGUAGGAAGACACCCAACUGCCGUGCCUGACCACAUCCCAGUGUAUCCACCGCAGUAGAUCAAGGCUGCUAAAAUCUUCAGGUGGACUUUUCGAGCUGCCACAAGCCAAUCUUCUAGUGGAUUUCUAGAGUUGCCACACCCCAAUCAUCCAGUGGAUUUGUAAAAUUGCCACAAGCCACCAUUAAUCUUCAAGGAUGACUAGAGAUGAGAGGACUAGACCCACGUCAUUCGUUGGUCUAAAUUACCUUGUUUCCUUUCAAGCACACCGAACUAAAUAAUGCCAUUCUGGACUUUAUCAGUCAGAGGACUAGCUCCAGUGUCAUCCGCUAUCAUUUUGUUUGUCUGGUUCUAGAAAAGUUGCCAUUUCUUGGAUGAAAUCCCAGAGCAUUAACAAACAUUCUCUUUGCAGCACCAAUAUGCUCCUCUCUGAGGUUGUCCUUGCGAAUAUUAGCCUGAUCACUUUGUGUGCCAGGGGAACUCAAUUUGCUAGGUCUAUCAAUAUUAUCUUUGGGUAUGGUAAAACCAGAAUGUGAUGAUUCACUGUCACUGAGCCUCAAUUCAUUUUUCUUGCCAAUUGAACUCAGAUUUUUGUCAGGCAUGACACUUUUCUCAGUGUAAACUUCAACGCCUGAAUUGAAGUUGUCAUCCUCCUCAUUUUGGACCAUCAUAUUUUUAGCUUGUUUUCCAUUAGCAUUAGGCUCUCUAGAGGAGGUAUCAUGAUUGUGUGGCUUAAUUCUUUGUCCAAGAGCAUGUGCUAUCAUUCGGCGGGCAACGGUAGGAUUCUUUGGUGGCCUUUGCUCUACCAGCUCUCCUGUUCUACAUUCAUCAACAGCAAAAAUGCGUUCACGAGCUGCCAAAUAAGCUGCUUCUCUCUCCUCAAGAGAAAGUUCAGGCCUUGGUGUUUCUGCAUUCAGCCCUGCACACACGAGCAUGUUACACUUGAAUAAGACUAGAUUUACAAACUCACACAUAUUCUACCCAAUAAAUAAUAUAUGCAGGGAAGUCAUCUGAAAACGAAUUCAUGUCAACUAAAAGCAAGAAAAUAGAUCAUUGCAAUGCAGGACUUGUUGAAGAUGAACCAUGCAAAGUAGCAGUCAAGCGAGAUACAAUUGUUGGUCUGUGCAAAUCAAGAAUGCAGACCUCUUUUCUAUAUUAAAAAAUUUAAAAUUUUUUAAAAAAAAUCUAAUCCUAUUACACAACCAUUUAAUAUCACUACAAAACAUUAAAAAGUUAAAAAAUGACCUAUAUGGCUCUGAUAUAUUUUUAGCUUAAAACUAUAUUAUUUUGCUCUUCAUUGAAAAAGAAAAAAUGAAAUAAAAAAGACAGGAAAGUACCAUUAGGAAUAAGCAACCGAAGAGUUUGCAGAAAAAUGGAAUAGUACUCUACACAUAACCCAAAUCAGGCAGCAUUCAGGAAAGAAGGAAAAUUCUUCACAAGAUUGAUUUCCAAGGAAUUCAAAUUCAUGCCUCAUGACAGAUCCAGAUAUCUUGCAAAUAAACAGGCUUAAAAAUCAUAACAUAGACGAUUGAGGUUAGUUCAAACUAAUUCCACAAUACAGCAAUAGGCACAAAUUCAAAAAAAGGCAGUGCAGUGGUGUCAAAACCAAGCAAUAUCAAAGCCAACUGAACUUCUAACACACUGCUGUGUGCGCUUAGCACUAAAAUGUGGAAUUGGGAACAAACAUUUCGUAUACUACAAAUAACUAGAGCAAGAAGUUUUUCAAGAAAAAAAUUCAUAGCAAUUGACAGACAUGAAGUGUUUUUUGUCAUGUGCUUCGUUUCUUACGAGGAUCUGAAUAGCACCAAUGUAGAAUAAUACAAGUCCUACUACUUAUGCACAUGUUGCUGAAUAGGUAAACUUAAAUACUUGAUCCAUUAUGCAAUUUCAAUGUUAGCUGCAAAAAAAAUCCAUACCUGGUUGAUCUGCUUUCUUCUUCUCUAAUACUUCCAGAAAUUUUGGGGUUGGCAGCAAUUCAUCAUACUGCCACAGUAGAUCACUGACAAGGAUGGAAGGUCUGCAAAUCGAAUACUAGGGCUUAUCAGAAAUGAAGCUUGUACCUGAAGCUCAAAAAAAAAAAAAAAAACUCAUACCUACCACCUAAAUCUUCAACCUUAGAAAAGCAGACACUGGAUUGUUUUUUAAUUUAAUAAAAAACUGGAGAUAUGCUCUCAAAAUAAGCUUCAAUAUAAUACUAUAAAAGUCUUUAAAUAUGUGGCAAAAUGGCCAGCAUUUUGUGCAGCCCCAAACCAUUCAAGAUUCAUUAUUGGCUGAAAACAAGUUAAAGAAGUGCUCAAGAAUCCGCACUAGCUGGUUAGAGUAUUAGAGCCUUAAAAUCUAAAGCAUUGAGAAUAAUGUUAAACUCUGAAGGACUUGGAAAGAAUUUAGGAUGCUAUUGGCCGGAUCAGCCUUUAGAAACAUCCAUGUCCAGGUCUUAUGACAAACCAUCACAAGUGCUCCUUAAAUCAGCAUAAACUUUCUUUUCCAACUAAAUGCAUGCAAAAUUCAUUACAUGACCUCAAAACCAGCUUCCCUAUUUCCAGUGUCAAGAUUCUCUACUUAGUUUUGCACCCAUGCAGACUAAAAUUUUCUUUCCGAAGUCCCAGUUAAUAUUCACAUCGCAAGUUCUGAACAAGACUGAGUAUCAUCCUCGACCUAGAGUACCUAGCUGAAAUAUUAUCGGUAAAAACAUUUUGAAGGCUAGCUAAUGCUUUCAAGGAAUUGCUUCAUAUGCAACUCAGAUGAUAAGCCAUAAUCAAGCUAAAGUUUCAUGUUUCAAGUGACCACAAUCAGCAAACGUUUUCUUUCAGCUAUUUAAGGACUUUUGAUAAUCACCACUGUAUUGCAUACAUUGAUGUCUCUGAGCAUCGCUCCAAAACUAAGUGUCUUGCUUCUCCUUCACCAACUGAUUCAUGAGAAAACCUGCCACAAUACAACCAUAACCUCUCUUCAAAAUCAAACAAUACCAUAAGCUGGAGAAAAAUCAAAAAGUCAAUAGCUAAGGCAUCCACUAUCACACAAGAGGACAGUGGCAUAAAUAACCUCAGAAAAGGUUUGAAAAAUUAAUACCCGAAAAUAUCAGCUAGACGAUGCAAGAGAAGGCGACUGUAGGAAUCCAUUGGCUCUAGCUCCAAAACCCCGUCUGAACUGCAUAUGACAUGAUUAACUCCAUUAUAUUUUCAUAAACUCCUCUAAUGUCUUUGACCAUAGUUUCCAGGAUUUGAAGCAGCAAACUAAGAGAAAGGAAAUCAAUGGUCAUUGCAACGAAGGAAUAAUGGGUGAAAAGAACUGAAAGUCACCCAUUAAAAAGAGAUAGCAGACCAUUUAGCAACCUCUCUCUCUCUCUCUCUCUAAUGGGUGAAAAGAACUGAAAGUCACCCAUUAAAAAGAGAUAGCAGACCAUUUAGCAACCUACUAUGGACUACCAGCUAGAAAGUACUUAAGGUCCUAGGACACUUCUGAAAUAAAAAAUCUCACCACUAAAUAUAGACUUAGAAGAGCAUCACUUACAUAAGGGUGAAUUAAGAAAAAGAAAAAGGUCCCGUAGCCAAAUGCAGUAAAUACCAACAUCUAACUCAAUAUUAUGUAACUCCAAAAAACUGAAAAUUUUAACAGAGAAUUCCCGACUGAAAUCCUUCAAAUACAACUCCACUUCCAUUCUUAGGUGCAUGCACAUAAGAAAUCUUUUUGAGGAUCAGCAAAUCGAAAGAGUAAAGAAACAUAUUCAAAUCAAACACACAACCACUCUAUAACAAUCAGUUUAUAGAAAAACUACAAAAAAAAAAUUAGCAUUCCUAAAUUUACUAAUUUACAAAAUUCAGGAAUUCGAAAUAAAUUGACAACUUAAAAUCAUUUGCAAGCAUUUAAAUCUGCUAUACUUAACCCAACUGGAAGUCAUGUCACAUGGAGUGGAAAAAGGGUCAACACUCUACGAAAGCCAUGAGUGUCAAAAAUGAUAUAUGCUGCAUGUAUCCCUAGUCUACAUUAUAUAACAUUUCCAGAUCCUUCAUGAAUUGAUUGGAAUUCACUAACGUGCUAACAAGAAUUCUCAUCAUUAUACAACGUCACCGAUGUUAAGCAACUUCCUCUCACUCUCAGGGAAUGGAAUAUGUUGACAUUCAUUUCAGCAAAGAAGCUCAUAUCUAUUAGAUUCAGAGAGGAAGUUGUUCUGAAACUACUACUACAGAGACUUCAACAAGAUCAAAUUAUGGCCAGUUAGUGCCAUAUUUGCCCUUACUGAACUCGUUAUUAGCCUCAAUACUUAUUUUUUGGUAUAUAAAAUGGUUCAACAAGCAUGAGUACUCAAGAACAUUUCUCAAGUCCACGGAUUUACACAAGAAGCCAUCUUUUUGACUUGUUUCUUUCUUGUAAUAUCUAGCAAUGAUUUCAAGAGCUUAAGUAUGAACCAAUAUAAAAGUCAAACAUCUAAAUCCCAACUAUAUCGGCCCCUUUACCCAUCUGAUGUCUCCCAUUUCUAGUUAUUAUAUGUGCAGACUGUGACUGUGCCAUGCAGCCAUAAUUCUGGACAUUGCAACUCUACCAGUACUAGGCUGUGUCAAGAGAGUGCUCUUUCUGAGUCGAUUCAGAUUUCAGCAAUGUCAAUCUCCAGUUUCACAAUUUUCAGAAACAAAAAGAAGGUUAUUACUCAUAGACACUUACAAGCAACUAUUCAUUAUGGUGUCAGCUGAAUGUUACCUUGUAUCAUCCUGAAGGAAAUCCACCAGGGCUGCUUCCACAGAGAGAACAAGAUGCUUGCAAUGAAGAUUGUCUUUGAUUAAAGAAGCCAACUCUUCAACCUACAAAAGAUGCCACUAUAAUUAUCAACACAAAACAGCAAGCAUAAUACAAUGCAGCACUGAAUUGCGUGUUUGAGACAAAAGAUAAACCAGCAUAAGAUCUUGGGAUACAGAUAUUAUGUCUAAACAGCAGUACAACCUGUUUGUUUACUUGUUAAAUCUCAUUACAAUUGAUAAGAAUUCGAGUAGUAGAUAGACACCAGAUAAGAUGAUAUCUUGCAGUAAUGUGACAUGAAUAUAAACAAAACAAUGACAUCAGGAAGAAGCCAAUAAAAAAUGCCAAUAAAGAAGCACCAAGCCAAUAAGAAAGUGUAAUUAGGUUAAAUACAAGUGAAAGUCCAUCUUAAUCGAAACAAUAAGUUUUAUACAAAGAAAAAAUUUUGACUGCAGAAAUAUGUAGCUGUUGUAUAUAUUAAGGGAAAGCCAGUAAGCGACAAACUCCCCUUGUUGAAUAGAACAGAUCAAAAUGCAGCAAAAUAAGAUGUCAUUAAACAAGGGGAGAAAAAAAUAAUAAUAAGAAGAGGAAAAGAGGAGACUCUGAAGGUAAAAGGUUGAGAUUAACAGCAUGUAGAUAUUUGAAAAUUCAGCAUCAAGGAGUUCAAACAAGUAAGAUUUCCCAAUUAACCACUUUGCAAAAUAUGCAUAACAACCAGCCAGUGCAAUCCGCUGAUCAGAAGCACUUCUUCACAAAAACACAACACAAGAAUAAAUCAAGAUAGAAGGCAGAGCAAACAAAACGAAUUCCACAACAAUUCUCCAGUUAAAUUUAAUUGCUGUAACACUAUCUUCUAUGUAUUUAAGUUAGCCAUUGGUUCAUAUAUUCUUCAUUAGUCCAUAAAGCUCUAGCCAAUGCUCGGUCACCAUAUAGUUCAACUACUAGUAACUGUAAAAUUGUUUACUUGGCAACAGAUGGAACCCAUGAACGUUGAACAUGGAAGAGUGUUCAUAUUCGAGUUUCAGUUACGUUAGCCAAAAAGCUCCAAAGAUUCACAAAGUCUUCAACUUGAUAAUGAAAAUUAAAGCUGCAAAGUUCGAUAAUACAUUAUUUCACCCAGCAAGAAAAGAAAAAUACCUUUACUUUACUUGUUAUUAAGAAAAAAGGAAACAGGGCAUCCAUCUUUUUGUAUUCCAGACAGCAAAAUUACCUAUUUUUACUCCACACAGCAAAAUUACAUAUUUUUCCCAAGACAGCAGGGCUACCAAACUUUAUUUUAGUCUGCUUAUAAUAUGCAAAGAUUACAACUUUUUCAGUAACCCCAUGGACAAAAAAACUCUAAUCAAUGUUCUUGGUUGAAUUCGAGCAACCCCAUGGACAAAAUAACAUGCCCAUCUCUUAUACACUUUUCAAGGAGCCAAGUAAAAGCCAAAAAAAAAAAAAGAAACUUUAAAAGCAGAAUUACCAAGAAAGCAUAUGUAAUUAAUUACCAUGGCGAAAUCGUUGAGACUCAUUGUACAAGGGAGUAAGAAACUCUGAGAGUGUUCUGGGGAUUGUUGUUUUCUUCAAUUGGACCGAAAGGUUCUUUUCAAUGCUCAGUAGAAAUUGCGAUUAAAAAAAAAUGAUAAUAAGCAUUCGGCUCUUGAACAAUUCCCCGUUUGUGGGUCACCUAGGAGUUUUAAUUUUUCAGUCAAGCUCCCUAAUUUUAAAAAUUUGCAUUUUGGUACAGCUGACAAUUUUUUUUUCUUUUUUGCACUUAAUUUUGACUAAAGUAAAGUUAUAAUAAACGAGCAAGAGUAAAUGGGUGGGAUUAGUAGAUCCGUCAAUUGUAACAUGCACAGAAGUGAGUUGCAGUGAUUUAUCUUAUUAGAAGAUAAUUUAAAAAUUUUUUGUUAUUUUUCAUUAGAUCUAUUGUAUCUGCUCUCAUGCGUAUUUAAUUUGUCAUUAGGGUAGUAAUAUAAAUCAAAUCGCGUUUAAUGAUUUUCACUAAUUUGUUAAUGAAAUUUAUUUUUGAUCAAAAAAUCAUGAAAUUUGAAAAAGAAAAUCCUAUGCUUUCUAAUAUUAUCUCGAAAUCACAAAAUUGGGGAAACUAAACACAUGGUACCCUUGAUUUGACAAAUUUUAAGAGGUAUUAGUAUAAUUUAUCAUCUAAAUUUAAUUAUUCUGUAUUAUUACUGAUAGGAUAAAAUUCAAUAUUCACAUUUGCUUGUCGACACUCCUAUAUGUAUAAAUGUUCUUAUCUUUUAUUAUAGUUGCAAAAACUCUAUCUUCUCUCAAAGUGUAAUCGAAAUAAAUUACAUGAACAUUUUUUUAAUCUAUUUAUACUAUAGAGGUAGUUUAAAAAAAAAAAAGAGAUGUUAUAACAAAUUGGAGGGUACCAAUAUCAAUUUUGGGUGAGACUAUUUUGAAUUUUCCCCUGCGGACACAAAUAUUUUGUGAGCCAAUCAAGGCAGCAAAGCAAACGCACCUUUGCACAUUAUCAGCAAAGUACGACUACUUGUAAGGGGCCAAAAAAAAAAAAAAAAAAAACGGACCACUGGUAUUAUCAGUAACAGCGAACGCUUGCAAGAAGAGAAGCUGAUGGAAUGGCGGCUGCUUUACCAUCAUCAUCAACAUGGAAACCUUUCAUUUCCUCGUUUACUUCUUCUCUGAUUGUAAAACCAACCCAUAAAAUUUCUCCUCAAAUGGCUCUGAACAACAGUAGUAUUACCACCGCGGCCACCACCACCUCUAAUAUCAGUAAUGCUUACACCGGUGGAAGAAAGCUGCCCAUCUUGUUGUUUGAUGUAAUGGAUACAAUCGUUCUUGACCCAUUUUACCAGGAUGUCCCUGCAUUCUUCCGGUAUUUUCUUUUCUUUGCUGUGCUAUUCGGUCCAAGUUUUGAUCUUUUGGGAUCCCGUUAUUCAAUUUUGUAAUCGGGAGAUAUAGUUCUGUGGGCUGUUAAGUUUUCAAUGCUCGUAUGAUUCUUCUUUUGUUGUUGUUCGUGUUAGACUUGUAAAGGGUGACUCUGGUUCUAAUUUUUUGUUUUUUAUUGGCUGCCAAUUCUUUGAGAUUUUGUGUUCAGAAUGUCUAUGAAGGAAUUAUUGGAAUGCAAGGACCCAACUCCCUGGAUUGAAUUUGAAAAGGGUCUCAUAGAUGAGGUACAUAACCAAAAAGAUGAUUUUUUUUUAAACAAUUACUUUGGAGUAUGUUGAUGUGAUGUUGAUGUGUUUUUGGUAGUAACACUCAUAUCUACAAAUUAAGUAACACAUCCUAGUGGUAUUUUGUAAAACCGUUAAUCCAUUAGAUUAAAAUUGUGGGGUUUUUUGUGUUCAUUUAAUUUUUUUUGGAAAAGGUAACACUUUAUGAUAAAGGGAAUACUAUUAUUAUGAGGCUUCAAGGGUGUAUAAGCCUAGAGAAACAAGUAAUUAUCUUGUUAUACAACUUUAAAGGUGAAUCACGUUACUCUUUCUAUUACCAUCAGCCAUUUUUUAACUAGAAGCAUCUGUAGUUUGAGUAUGCUAUCCUUUCAUCGUGCUGAAAGGGUAAAUAUGCAGUAGUAAGUGCAUUUACUUGGACCUUACAUUGAAGUUUCGUGAAUUUUUUAAUUCUCAUGCUUCUUACUUUAACUAUUUCAACCUCUUUUCUCUCAGCCAGAGCUGGCCAGGAAAUUUUUUAAAGACGGGAGGUCUUUCGACUUGGAAGGUGAUUAACAACUUUCGUGGCUAAAUUUAGGUUUGAUGAAAUGUAAUUGGUACCUGGAUUGGCACUUUUGGAUAACUUUGUGUCAGUCAACUUUGCUUGGAAUUGUAACUCGACCAUUCAGAAAUUUGCCAUUGUUGAAUGAUACAACCUCUCCCUUUGGGAAAACAUAAUGUCAGUAACCUUUACACAUUUCUAAACAUUUCAAAAGCUUCUGCAAUUGUCCCAGGUUACUACCUUUCCCCUAAUGAAAUGAAACUGACAUUGGUGCUUGAUAAACUACAGUUGGGCAACUUAUCUAAUUCUUCUGUUUUUUAAUGAUAUAUAGUUGGGGAGAUUUCUUCUCAUUUUUAUUUUCCAAAAAGCACAUAAAUUGCGUUCACAUUUGUUUUGAGUAGAAUGUACUCUCUCUGUAUGCUGGAGCACUGCAAGUAUUGUGUCUAGAUAAGAUUAAGCUAGUAACUCAGCAUGUACGGCAAGGAGGCAAAAGUAAAGCACGAAAUGAGUAUGUCGAUGUUUAAUGAAGGAAAAGUUAUCAACAUGGUCCAUGCUAACAGAUUAAAUUUUUUUUUUUUUAAACAUGUGACUACUUGGGUCUUCAGAACUGGGUAUCUAUAGCAACUAUUACAGCUUUCAUUUCUCAGCUGAAUCUUUUAGCAGUGGCAUAUGCUUUUGUACUCUGAUGGAUUUGAUAGGGCAAGAUAGGGUUUCAACUUUUCUAAAGAAGGGAUAAACCCUCCUGAAAAUGUUUAUAUACAGAAACUCUCUACCCUCUAUUGUUAUAUCAGGAAAAACCAGAAUAAUAAGUAAGAAAGUCUUUCUGGGAUAUGUGAAAUCAAGCAUAGUGUUUGUUGAUUUCACUUGUUUAUUGAGCUCUUCUUCUCAAUGUGCUUAGCAUUCUUACUGUGCUUCGGAUUCCUUUUGGAAGAGCUGGUGGAGUCCUUUAAUAAUGUGUGAAUAUGGUUUUCUCUUCCUUCCACCAUUCAUAAUAAACAAAAAUUGCAGCAAAAGCCAAGUUUGCAGAUAAUUUCUAAAACCUGAGCCUUUAGAAUUGUACUGCUAUAGUAAGAACUAGAUUUCUAAGUCACUGGAAACUUCAGACAUGCAGCAGAUCGACACCCUCAGACUAGACAGUUUAAUUAAAUGAACAGUAAGAAAUAAACUAUGAUAGCUUUAUAACCUCACCACUGAUUUACACAUAAAGGAUCAGCAGGCAUUCAUGAUUAGCCUUGUAUCGAUGGUCUCAAAUCUCCCUUGACAAGCAAGCCUAAGGGAUGAAGGAUAAUAAGAUAAGAUUAGAUGAAACGGGAGGCAGGCAUAUGCGUAUGCAUGACUCCAUGUUUAUAGGCUCAUGUGAAUUUUUCCUUUCAAUUUUUUUCUUUUCUAAAUUCCAUGAGGUAGUUGUUUUUCAUUGAGAACUUGGGAUCUAAAUCUUUUCAAGGAGGGUAAGUCCUUAUUCAAAGACUUGUUAACAAGAGUUGUUGAAAGGCUAUGAAUAUAAUUUCUGUCAGUAACUUUUGCUUAGUAGAGGGGGAAAUUACUGGCUACUCCUCAGCAUAAGCUACAUGAUAUUCUCAACCUUAAACCUCAAAGAAAAUAUUGUUAGGGAUUUUUUCUUCUAGAGUUAGACUAAGCCCUUGGAUGAUGAUUUUUAUUUGCCUUCUGUAGUUCUUUUCUUCUUUUUUUUGAUGAACAAGAUUUGAACUUUUAUUGCAGGCCUAAAAAACUGUAUGAAAAGAGGAUAUCUCUACAUAGAUGGUGUUGAAGAGUUGCUUCGUGCUUUGAAGAAAGAUGGCUACGAAAUGCAUGCUUUCACGAAUUAUCCUAUUUGGUAUGUCUUAAUUGCAAAUUUUGCUAAAAGCACAAUUCUUUCAAAUGACAACUGGAUUUUUUCCUCCUCUGCAGGUAUAAGAUGAUUGAGGACAAGCUAAAACUGUCUACCUACUUAUCCUGGACAUUCUGUUCAUGUAUAUUUGGUAUCUUAGUGCUCUGAAAAUUUUCACCUUUUUGCUCCCUCUUUCUAGUGCAUUGAUGAUGUGGUUUGCCUCACAUUCAGGACAUAUCAUUCUCUUCAGGUCAAAUUUUGAGAAUUUAAAUAAGUAUCUGAGGCUGUAGCAGUUUAGCCAGUUUGUGUUAUGAUACUGCUUCUUCAGAAAGGGGAUCAUUGUGCUUCAGACUUGGAGUUUCUUUGGAAAAUUCUCUGCAUUCUCUUAGACUCUAAUUUUUCUAUUAGAAUUUCCACCUAAGAUUCUUAUAUAACUUCUGCAAUAGGCUCUUUAGCCUUUAGAGUGGUAAGAACUCAGAAGUUAGCCACUCCCCCCCCCCCCCCCCAAAAACAAAAAAGAACUCUCUCCACUUAUUGUUUUUGUUUUACGAUGUUGAUUGCUGUUUUUUCCUGAAUACAGGAAAAAGAAAGCCUGAAGCUCAAUUUUAUCUAGAAGUUCUCAACUGCCUUAAGGUUGAUCCAGCAAGUUGUAUUUUCAUUGAUGACAGGUAUAGUUCUUUAUCAAAGUGGUCUGUAUCAGGUUCACGUAAAAAUUUGAAAUGGACACUAAUGAGGGCACUGGACUUUGUCAAUAAGUAAGUAUUUUUUUUGCAUCACAAUGUACAGCUUGGUAUAUCAGUCACUACAGACGUGCACUGUUUUCUAGAUUCAGCUAGCUAGGAACUUUUGGAUACACAAAGUAAUAUUACUUUUACCGCUUCUUUCUUCUCUCCUCUUUACCUGUAAAGGCUGGCAGGAAGGUGACAGCUGUGUCAGCCAAGCAUUUCACUUUAUUUACCACAACUCAAAUGAAAGGAAAAAUCAAAACACAGAAAAAAGAAAGCAUAGUGCAUAUUUUAUUGAAAAGCACAGUGACCUGGCAUACAUGUUUGUUUUGUACAAGACAUUAAUAUUCUUAUAACACUUAAUUGUGAAAUGGGCAUGCUUUUAUAAACUGCAAUUCAUAAUCUCAAAGUGAUGUUUGGACUGACAGAAGGUUGAAAAGGAGGAUCUCUCUGUAUUGUCAUAUGUUAUGUAACAUUUUGCAUUUAAGAGUUGACUUUCUUUCUCCAUACUUCUUUGGGCAACUAUUGUUCUACAUGUUGUACUUAGUUAAUCUCAUACAUCUGAUUUCUUAGUGGUUUGCCAAUUAAAUGUGUUAAAUGAUGACUGAAUGUUGAUUCAUCAAUUUCCGUGCAAGUUAACAAAGAAAACUAGCUGGUUCAACAUCUUUCCUGUAGCAUAUCUAGCUGCUUUCUUUUCGCUCAUUUAGCAGUAUCUCAGUUUGUAAAUGGUUGUGCUUGAGAAAGAGUUUGUGUGUGUGUGGUUCUUACAAUGUGCAGUGACUGAUGAAUGAAUGAUGUUUGCACCAGGAUGAGGAAUGUCGAGGCAGCAAUUGAAGCUGGUUUCACAGGUAUUCAAUUCAAGAAUGCAGAUUUGUUGCGCAAAGAUUUGUCAAUCCAUGGCAUUGACAUUUCAAUGAAUGAACCCAAUGAAAAUCAAGAUGUAGCUGAAGUUUUGGAAUAACAACUUUUCGUUUCCCAAACUUCAUCCGUCUGUUUCUCCUUUUCCCAUAUGUUCCUUUUACCAAAGAUGGUGUACAUUUUUUUCCUGGAAGAGCAUUGAAGAAGUCGGUUCUCACCAAAAUAACAGCAAAGAUAUCAAGGGCCUAUUGGUGGAACCUCUAUGUUCUUUUCUUGGUCCUGCAGUGUGCUUCCCUUUCUGAUGUGUUUAUUUACUGUUAUAAGAUACUAUCCACUCUUUGCAUGUUCUCAUAGCCUGGUACAUUGCACAUAAAGAAUCAAUUCACUUGAAUUUCUUAUUUUCUUUUGUUGAAGAAAGAAACAGUAGCAGUAGCAUGAACCACAAAUUAAGCAGUUCCCCUUUUACUUUCCCUGGGACAUGAGUUUAUACACUGGUAUCCAAAAUCCUACAGCAAAGGCCCAACGAACUAGGGUCUUCCCAAGGACUCUUUCUUUUGGGUCUUCCCUAAUCUGCUUUUGUCCCUGUUCUUGUUCUUUAGCCUCUAAAGUAAUUCUGCAGAACAAGGAGACGAGUUGGGAAAAAAAAAUUCUGGUCAACCAAAUGUGAAAUAUUCAUUUUUCUUUGAUGAAUAAGGGUCGUUUUAGAAACACCUUAUGCUGCAUUUCCGAAUUUUAUUCUUUGAUCUUUGUUUAGACAAGAAUAAAGUAAAAAUGGUAUGACAUUUGGUAACUUUUCUUGUCCAAAAUAUGAACAAAACAAAACAUUAUACUCAAAAGAGUUAUAAGUAAAAUUACUGCAGUAAGUAACUGAAUUAACAAGCAAAUUAGUUUUUUUUUUCUUGCUAGGACAAAAAAAGUGUUUCUUCGUCGAACUUGAAAAUAACAUAUGACCCAAAAUUACAGGAAAAAAAAAAAGCAAAAAACUAGAUUUUGGCCUGAAUUUGAACAGUGAUGCCUCUUAGUCACAGGACUGUAUUUUAUCUGGCUUGUGUUUUGUUUGCCUUGCCAGAGAAGAGGAUGCCAACUCUCCCAUGAUCCCUAAGUCUUAGGUUGUGUUUGGAUUGCAUUUUUCUAGAUUUUUUGUAGAAAAAUUACUGUAGCAAUUUGAUAUAUGUAAGGUAAAAAAGUGAUUGAAAAAUGUAUUCACAAAAAAUGUAAGAAUUUUUCUUUGGAAAAUGUGUUCACUGAGGAUGCCAGAGAAGAGGAUGUCUCUUAGUCACAGGACUGUAAAUUAAACCCUGAGUCUUCUAUAAAUAAAUUUAAAAAAAAUAGAAGAUGCCAUGUAACUGUUUUUAACCGUAAACACAUUUUCUAACUAUCAUUUUUUUAAAAACACACAUCACAUCUAAAAAAACAUGCAAUAGUAUUAUUUUCUAAACAUACUGUAAAAAACUCAGUAUAAAAGUUGCAAUCCAAGUGGAAGUCCAAAGUAGACAUUCAAAGUUAAAAGUACAAAAUUCCAUUCAAUUAAGUUCUACCCUUUUCAACAUUGUUAGGUCAAUAAUGAUUUACCAAAUUAAAAAUGCAUAAAUGAAUUAAAAAGAAAUUUAGGACCCUUUUCAAUUAAGUUCUACCCUUUUCAAUUAAGUUCUUCAAGAAAAUGCAUAAAUGAAUUAAAAAGAAAUUUAGGACCUUUUCUUUUGUGAAAAAUAACAAAAUAGCAAACCCUUGUGGAUAUAUGAUUGUCAAUUUAAUGCCCUUCUCUGAAGAUAUAAAUCUCUUGCACCAAAGGAUGUUAGGUAGGUGGACUUUGAAGGCUUAAUUCAAAACUUUUUUUUUCUUUAUUGUGAAAGAAAUGUAAUUAAGACUUUGGCUGAAAAAUUGAAAUUCAACCUAUCUAAAGAUUCAAAAAAAAAAAAGUGGAAAGGGAGAAAACAAAAGAAAGAAAAAAAAAUUAAAAACUGCUAAUUGGGCAUAUGGGGUAGGCAGCCGGGCAUAUAUGACCGACCAUUCGUUGCACAGAGGCUCUGAAAGAGAGGACGCAAAUUCAAUUCCUGUUUCUUUUUGUCACACAAAAAUGAGGAACCUCGUUUAACAUAAGCCUAAAACAAGAAAAGAUACAAAGGCAACCCAAUUAACCAGCAUUUGACUAUUAACUUGCUGACAAAAUUCACACCUUCUUCCGACCAAGAUAACAAGCCAAUUAUUUGUAUAACUCCAGCAGAAUUCAAUCUUUAUACAUGGUUCUGAGCUCCCUAACCAACAUUGGUCUCCUUCGAAAUCGUCGUUCUUGAAUACCCAGAAGUGGAACUGGGCAGAAUGGCAGCUACUCCUUUAGUGGGUUCGAAUAUGCUCUCAUUGAAUUUAUGCUGCAAAAGGGACUCUUUUGGGUCUGCCAAAUCUUUUGUCAUGCAUGGUGUGAAGCCUUUGAAUUUGGGUUCCUCUGGAAAGAGGAGGAUCAUUUGUGGUUGUACGGCUCCUAUUAGAGACUUCAGGCCAGCUGAUGCUGAUGAAUUUUCAGCUACCACAAUCAAUGCAAAGGUAAAAGACCAAAAAUUUCUUGAUUCUUUCUUUUUUCUUUUUUUAGGUUUGGGAUUUCGAAAUUUUGGUUUUAUAGUCCUUUUUUGUCCUCAUCGUUGAUGUAUCUUGACUCCUACUUUUUGGCAAGUUUUCCAAUUUGGGAUUUUUAUUUAGGUGACCGUUUAACCAUCUGUAUCUAGCUGGAUGCUUAAAUUGCUGUUGAUUUGAUCAAUUGGGAUGUGUCUACUGAUCAUGUGACGGUUCAGUGGUCUUGAUACAGAUAUCCAUUGAGAAGGCUAGUGCAUUGUCUGAACUUAUGCAUCUCUAGGUGUUUUUCAAGACUUGAUUUUGGGUAUUCUGAAGUACAGAUAAAAGUUUACUUGUUUAAGGUUAUAUGGUUUCUCUUGAUAUCUCUGGUUGUCUCACCUAGGUGGAUUCCUCAUCUUGUAACAAACCACUGAUGAUUGGAUUAUGAGACUCCUGUUUUCCUGGAGUUUUCUCUGCCGUUGAAUCAAUUAUGUAGAUUUUGUUCCUGUAGAAAUUGCCUCACUUGGUUGUUUGUCUGUUGAGUAUGCAGCUAGACACCUGUCUAGCUCCUAGUUGCAUUAAAUUGCUAUCUGAAGGUAGUUGGAAUUAGGAUUAUUGAAUCAUGAUUAUUCAUGGUCGAAUGCAAUUGUGGUAGAUUAUAUUUUGUUAGUAUACUUUCUAAAUUGUAGGGCCCAUGUAGUUCUGGCAUAUUCAACAUAAUUUUGGCUGUUCUACUGUUAUCUUGCUGUUCUCUCCACAUAUUCUCGCAAUUUAUAUUCUCCUAUGUUUUCAUUGAAUAACUUUGUCUUGAACUUGGUUAAUUUGUAAAACUGUUUUUGCCAUGUCAAGAUUGUGACCAGCAUCGAAUUUACCAUGUUCUAUCCUAGUGUUGACUUUAACCAUCUGUUAAUGGUCAACAGGAUUCAUCUAAGGCUGAGAGUGUGAGCAUGGUGCGGGAGCAGGAUGAAACUGAUGUGCUCAUUGAGUGUAGAGAUGUCUACAAGUCAUUUGGGGAGAAGCACAUUUUAAGAGGUGUUAGCUUCAAGGUGAAUUUUCUCUCCAUGAUUGUCCAGCAAACAGCUGUUAUUUGAUUCUUGUUCACCUAGGGAGAUGUCAACUACCUUUUUUAUAUGCCUUGGAUGUUUUAAUUAUGUGCUUUUUACUUCCACUAAUGAUUGUAUCAAAUUCUUUGACCCAUUGAUUUGAUUUAAAAGAUAUUCAGAUGAGUGCCCAUUACAAGAGCAAUUGCUUCAAAUAAUUUAAUUUGUGUGCUCUCUGUGUGUUGUGAACCCUAAAAAACCAAUUAGGUUUCUUUUUGUAGUAGUUGAGGUAGAUUAGCAUAUACAAAUGUAGUUUAUGCUGUAUCUUUACAUCUCCAUCAUUGUCGGUAUAUUAUAGUGAUACAUAAUUUUGUUGUUCUUUUACGCUUCGUUCCUCUAAAUUACCCGGACGGUGGACCUAUUUGAUGUUCUUUUUUUUUUAUUCUACUUUUUCUGUGGAAUUUUUUGUUUCCUCGCUCCUUGGUGGAGUUUUUAAUGCAGCCCAGAGAUGUUAUAUGUACAUAAUGGCAUAAACUCUAAUUCCAGCAGUUUCAUGCCCUAAAUUUAACAUGUUAGCGUUAAAUAUCACACUAUUGAAGAAAGACCUGCAUUACAUUUGUAUGACUUUUGCUUCCUUGACCUCAUAUGCACAAUUAAUUUCAAGAUAAGUAACUGGCUUUUCUAAUUUCAAGAGUCAUUCUUACCAAGGACAAUGAUUAGAUUUGGCAUCUUUUUCUCGAAUUUACUACAUGCAAAGCAAGAUACUGUUACCUGUUUUUUGUGGUAGAUAUGCGGUCAGGAAAAUACAACAUAAUGUUUUGCGAAAGCUCGUCACAAAUUUAAUUUGCCACUUAAAAUUAGAGGGUAAACCUUUUUUUAAAAAGUCAAAGUAGACCUUGGACUGAUAUGUGUGUUCUUAUUUUGACAUUUGAAAGUAGGUACACAUGCUAAUACCUAGUUGUUGUAAGAAAUAUGAUUGACUAUCAUAGUGGGUGGCCUCCUAGGGCUGCUGACUUUUUUUUGAUCUUACUUAGACCUAUUCUACUAUAAGUUUUUUCAUUAUGCAAUGCUUUUCAUCCAUUUCAUGAGAUUUCAUUGGACAAGCUCCCAGGCUCUUGUGGGUAUUAGAAACUGAACCAAUGCAGCAGAUUACGCAUUUUAAAAGAUUAAUUUGACUAUUCUCAAAGUUCAACUUCAGAAUCAUAUUUAGAAAGCAUGCUACAUGAAACUGCCCUGUCACAUAGAAAAUAGAGGUCAUUGCUCAUUAACAUUCUCCUACCAUCUUUUGCCAUGUUUUGCAUCUUGAAACAGUUUUAUUGGCAUUUUGCCUUUAUUCUUGUAAUUGUAAGUAUUGGCAAUUAGUGCAAUUAGUGUAUACAAGAAGAAUCGAGAAGAAUUUAAGGUGGAACGGUAAAUAAUUACGGUCAUUUGAAAACUCAUCGAGCUUUGUUAUUUGGGAGAAACGGUUAUGACUAUUAUCAAGCAUCUUUUUAGUGUCCUCUAGAGCAGUGAGCCUUUUAUAAGUUGUACUGAUCCAGUUUUUGUUGACUUGUAUAUUCUGUAAGUUGAUGGUAUAAAGACUUAAAUAAAAUGUGCAGAUUAGACAUGGAGAGGCUGUUGGAAUCAUUGGACCAUCAGGUACUGGAAAGUCAACUAUACUGAAAAUAAUGGCUGGACUUCUUGCUCCAGACAAGGUAAUCUUUGGAAUGCAAUUUUUUGCUGGCCCUGCAACUCGGUUCUGAGAUAAGCGUGUAAUUUAAUUAAUGAGUUCUGCCAGAUCUGACAUUAUUUGUGCCAUGGUUUCCUCCAUGGACUGUGUUUUAUGAGUAGGGGGAGGUUUUGAUACGUGGAAGAACACGUCGUGGUUUGAUCAGUGAUGAGGAAAUUGCUGGCGUUCGGAUUGGCUUAGUAAGUUAACUUCAAAUGGCAUAUUUUAUGAGCUGUCUUGAAUUCGUCAUGUGAUAUGAAUUCAAAAGAAGAGACCUUUAGGGUUCCCUAUUUUAUGACAGGUGUUUCAAAGCGCGGCACUUUUUGAUUCUUUAACCGUUCGUGAGAAUGUUGGUUUCCUUUUGUAAGAUACAUUAUACUUCCUAAACAGCAGUGAUUCAUCUUUUACUGCCUUUUGCCAAGAAACAUAAUAGUAUUCAGUUCAUCAAUACUGAAAUAAUAUGUUUGGCUCAUGCUCAAUUAACAGAUAUGAGAACUCUAACAUGCCUGUGGAUCAAAUCUCAGAGCUUGUAACUGACACUUUGGCUGCAGUUGGGUUGAAGGUAUGUAGAAAUGAUAAAUAUUCAUGAUAGAUAUAUCAAACAUCAAAACAUGGUAGACCUGGAUCAUGUGUAUAAAAUAGUAAACCUUGAUCACGUAUAUAUUUCUUUCGUCUGAUCUUUUAGUUCACAGGGGACACAAAUAUGAAGCAGUUUUUUUCAACUUUUAUAUGAGGAGCGUAGGUGCCUAGUCAUAUUUCAUUAUGAUAUAAAGAAGUAAGCAAAUGUUAGUUGGCCAUGCAUCAUGGAGAAUUAUGCAUGUUAGUCUAACAGUUUCCCUUAAUUUGGUUGCAUACUAUCAUUAAUGAUACCCAAAAUACUUGGGUCCAUCAAGUUUUGCUUAUCGUGAAAUGAUAUAAACUUACAUAUGUAAGUGGAAUAGAUAAUGACUACAUUUUGUUUGGUUCUUUAUGAACCAUGAAAUGUAUUCUUUACCUUGUGAUUGAAGUUCGUCCAAUGUACUUUGGUACUGAUGGUUCAAGUUAUUUAAAGUCCUGGUGGCAUCAUAAUGCUUGAAUCUUGCAUUUGAAUGUGGGAAUAUCAAACAGAAAAGGAAAGGAAUAUAGUCAAAAUAAUUGUCACUACUGUUGUAUGAGGUUUCUUAUGAUCUUCAACUUUUUGAUCUUUAUUAAUGGUUUAUGCAGGGAGUUGAGGAUCGACUACCUGCUGAAUUGUCUGGUGGGAUGAAGAAAAGGGUGGCCUUAGCCCGUUCUAUAAUUUUUGAUACAACAAAGGAUGUAGUGGAACCAGAGGUAAGUAAUGAGGGCUUUCUUAUUGGUUACUUUUUACUGGACUUUUGAGGUUCUGCUCUUCAAAAAGUCCAUAUUUGUGCAUUAAAUCUUGCCAAUUUUGGUUUCUAAACUGAAGUAUGAUUUAGCUUGGUCUUGAUUCCUCAUUUCAUGUUAUAUAAGUGCCUGCAGUUUUGGACAACAAAUCACUGUAGGAUUGUUAGCUGAUUUUGGCUCUUGAUAUUAGAACAGCUGAUGUGACAUCAAGACGUGUCAACUUAUAUUCAAAUUAACCAUUCUGUGCUUAAUUUGUGAUGACAGAGUUGUUAUGGCUAGUAUCUCCAUAGUCUGAACACUUUUUAGUCAAUCACUAUAUUACAUAUUGCCUACCAAAAAGAAAGAAGGAAUUCAGGUAAUAAAGAUGCAUUCAAAUUUGUGGUCUUAUUAAACUUCAAACUGAACUCUGCUUGAAAUGGCAGUUUAAACUUUGUCUUUAGACUAAUUUCUUUUCUGCAAAGUUGUUGCCUUCCGCAUAGAACUUGCAGAUGAUUUUCAAUUAAUUAUCAGUGACAGGAGAUUAUUAGCAACGACUAUGUUAAGUCUUACUCUUGUUUUUCACGUCUUGAAUAUCAGAUGCAGGAAAGGUAAAAAAAGGAAGGAAAAAAGAAGAAGAAGAAGAAGAAGAGAGAGAGAGAGAGGGGGGGGGAGGGAGGGAGGGCAACAAAGUUUGGGGAAACUUCUUAUGCAAAUUAGAUCUCAAGUUAAGAAAUUUACUUCUCCUGUGCUCUUUUAGAUCUGAUUAUAUAACCUGCUCAAGAAACGUUCCAUUAACCAUUUUAAUAGAGAAAUAUACUUCCGUUAGGCUUUGAAGUAGUCUUGCACUGGGUUAAGAUUUUUGCCUUUUCUCAAGACUUGGUGACAGUAUUACUCUUUCUCUGCUAAGUAUUAGAGUUACUUGUGUGAGAUAGAACAUUUUAAGUGCUCUUCCCAGUCAAAAAUUGUCUUAGGGUGAGACACAACUAGUCUGUUUUCUAGUAUUUCCAUUUCCUUAGUGUUGCUUGAAAUCUCUUGGUUGUGUACACAUUAUUCUAGCUGCUUAGCGAUAUGCAUCUGUUGCAAACUCUAUAGGAAGUUAUUGACAAUGGUGAUAGUUUUUCCACAUUUGAGCAGGUCCUCUUAUAUGAUGAACCUACUGCUGGACUUGAUCCAAUUGCAUCAACUGUAGUUGAAGAUCUCAUACGCUCUGUUCAUAUGAAAGGUGAGAGUGAUGUCAGUAAGCCUGGGAAGAUUGCCUCUUAUGUUGUUGUCACUCAUCAACAUAGUACCAUCAGAAGAGCUGUUGACAGGUACUUAAUGCUCUCUUGCAAGUUUUUUAGUAGGAUGCUGCAAAGCCUUGUGUGCAUGGAAUCAAGCAUUUUUACUUGACCUUGUCCUAAAAUUCAUGUGCGGUGGUGUCUAGGUUGUUGUUUCUCUAUGAGGGAAAGGUCGUCUGGGAAGGAAUGACUCAUGAGUUUUCCUCAUCAGCAAACUCUAUUGUACGGCAGGUAACAGCCACUAUUGAUUGGAUGCUGAACUUACAUUUUAAUGUCUUCCAAGUAUAUGUAUAUGAUAUUUUAGGACUUUAACCUGGUCUUCUUUAUCAAUUUCUUUGGAGAAAUACUAUGAGAAGACAAAUUACUAGGGGAAGAGGGGAUUAUGUGCAGGAGUGGAGAUGCGUGUUAGUUGCAUUUUGUUUCACUAGCUAAGCAUGAAAGUGUGAGUGAAUUCCCUCCAUCCGACAAAAAAUGACUAUUUUUGGAGUUGCGCUUCCUUUUCAACAGUGAUAAAUAAAGAGUGAAGUUUGGGAGGUUUCCCAAGUUUACCCUCUCUUUUUGAUGAUUAGCACACAACAUUUGAUGGAAUCUUGGUAAUUCCAACAGUUCAAGGCCUGCAUGUGUUGCUAAGUUGCAAAUUACCCUUAGCAUUCUUUGCACAUUCAUGGUAAUGAUGCAUGUAUCAUCAUAAGCACUUUUGCAAAUGGGCAAAGAUUUAUAAAUGUGGGUUCAUAUUUGAAGAUAAAUGUGGACUAUUAUUUUUCUCAUCAAAAUAGUGGCAAUGUUGUACGAUUAUAACUAUGGCACACAAAUUGAUAAAAGGGAAUAUAGGACCAAUAUAAAUUACCAUUUGGCUCAACAACCAGGUUUCUCAUCAUCAUUGUUUUUAGGAGCUGAUGUAUUGUUUAUUCAGUAGAAAUACUUUCAGGUAUAAGUUUCCAAAUACUUGGCCUUCCCUCACCCUCAGUGGUGGGAGAAUUGAUGCACUAAAUUUGUCAACAAAAUGGCCAACGUACUUAUCUGGUUAUAUAUAUGUAUUGACCAUGUAUUCGUUCUUUUGUCUCAAGAAAAUGUUACAUUUACAAAUCCACUCCUCUCUGACUUGCUUCCCGAGAGAUGUAUGCACAGCACACAAAACCCAUAUGUUGUGGUUUGUUUACCUAUGACUUGGUUAAUUCAUAAUUUAUGCAAAUGUUGAGUUAAUUCUUAACAGUUUACCUGUUUUGCAAUUGCUGUAGUUUGCAUCUGGGAGUUUGGAUGGACCAAUUAAGUAUUAGCUUAUAAAACAGUGCUUAGCAUGAAGAUGCAUGACAUCCUUUAACUUGGAUGCCAAUGGAUUUCACUUCGGAGAGAGAAUUUAAAUGGUUGAGUUGCUGGUUUUUUCCGGUCAAGCAUAGCAAUCCACUCAAUUUGAAUGGAGUGAACUAGCUAACAUUUCAGCCUCAACAAGACGUGCCUGUCCUUGUGAUGUUGGUGCAGCUUUUAUUUUGUGAGCCGGCAUCCACAACUUUGCAAGUUGGAUAACAUUGAACGUGACGACGGUCUACUUUUUUGUGGUCUUUAUAUUCUUUUCAGAAUUUUGACCUUGUACUCAUUCUUGCACCGGGCUCUACCUUGUAAUUUGGAGUUAUUUGAUCGUCUAAUGUAUACCAUUUGUAACCACAGUUCAAAGUCUUGGCUGAGACUGAGAGGACUCGGCCGUGUCAUCACAGGAACGGACCUCUCCGUUUUGAUUUCGAUAUCGGGACGGGAUGAGUCUGACAUACAUGGGUCGCCAAGAAAUAAGCCGAGUCACCGAAAACUCGGUCGAGAAGUCUUCGAUACGAAUAGUUUCAGCUGAGUUAUUCCGAGUUAAAUCGCAAAUUUACAUUUUACAGAUUUUCUUUUACUAAUUUUUUUAUUAUUUUUGUUUAGCAUAUUUUUGAAUAUUAUUCACAAUUUUUAGAAUAUUAAAUGCUUCAAAAUUUGCGUCUCGUCGAGAUCGUGACCAAUAUGUCGAAAUCGAUGUGGAACGGUCAAAGCCGCGACCGCGACCGUAACAGCGACCAAUCAUUGAACCAUGUUGGUAACGUAAACUCAUAUCAAAAGUUAACGAAACGAAUUGACAAUGUCUAUGAGGUUUGAGGAUGUCAAGAGUUGCAGGAAAUGUUCAAAUGGAACAAUAGAGUGGCAUUUCAGAAACUGUACACAAAGCAAAAUCGGGUUUCGAAUCAAUCAAGGCAGAGGAUGUAACAAAUGAUAGAAUUUAGGUGACAAAGAUGCUCGAGUAAUCCCCUUUUGGGAUUUUCCCCCAUUUUGCAUUUUAGAAAUUACAUCUCCAUUUUGCAACACUUGAUGGAAUAAUGCAGAGAUAUGAGCAGCAAGAAUGGUAUUAGAUGCUUUUAUAGCUUGGAUGAGGUAAUUCAGAGCACAAGAAUCAAACAAAUGACGAAAUAUUACACUAAAAGUUUGCAUCUUUGCAAGAUAAAUAGAUCAAGAGCUCCAAUAAGGUGAUUCUUUCUUGAUGAGGCUAUGCAUUUACGGUCUGGAAACUUUUCUACUUUGCCAUUGUAGUUAGCUAAAGCAGAAAAAUCAUGGCUGUGACAUCAUUAUUCCUGUAUUCUGCUGCUGGAAACGAGCUUGAGAUUUCUUCACUACUGGCAUUUAGCUUCUCUACUUUCUUAAUGGAAUCACCUUCUUAAUAAAUCCCGAGAAUAUGAGUGGUCUCGAAUCAGCCAUGGCCAGGCAUUGGCCUUCCAGUAGAAAAGCACCUUCAGGCCUCCCCCUCUUUACCCGGGGAAAGAAAUUGGCGAUUUGAUUCAAGAAUAACCAUAGGAAGUCCGUCAAAAUCACCAAAACAAACUCUGUCCAUCUGAAAAGGACAUUCCAUACUUUGUCCAGGCAUAGCAACUAUCCACAUUGCCGAAUAUCAGACAAAAUUACCUUUAACGAAUUGAAAAGGUACCAGCACAGCAAAAUGUGGGACUCCUAGUAAAGAGCAAAUGAUCUGAAGUUAUUCAGCCUACAGGUUACCUGUUUGUUGGCUUAGGUGAUUGCUUUGCCGCAAAUGGCACGAGAAAGAAUCAACUCUGACAAGCCCAAACAAACCUGAAAGGGAUGCCUAAAUGACAUUGUUUUGGAGCAUGAGCUGUAAAACUCCAAUGAUUUCUGUUUUAUUCUCAACUGUGGGAUCGAAAGUGAGUGACUGCAGAAACUAAGUGAGGUGACACAUUACAACUUUUGAGUCAUACUUUGCCUCAAACUACGCCUGUAACUUGAACUAAUGUAGCAUGCAGACUGCAAUAAACCUAUAUUGAUCAAGUCUUAAAGCCUUCGUAUAGUAGGAUGAAUCUGUGUUAGAUAUGUUUAGUCACUAGGUGCAGAAAUUUAUUCAAAAUGCAGAAGAGCUAAGAAGAUUAACGGGAAGUAGUUAAAAAGGCAAGACAUUGUUCCUGUACAAUGGAAUAUUAUCAUUUAUCAUCCCAAGUUGCAGCGUACAUGUACAAAAGCAUUAUAUUUUCGUUUGCAGAAUGUAGUUUCUUGUCCGAGUGGAACAGAACAAAGCCACAAGACCAGAAUAAAAACUAACCAAAGCACUAACGCAAAAUAUCCAAACUGAUAUUGGUCCUUCAUCCAUUUCUCUUUCAAACGUCUUUCCUGGAACUUCUGGAAGGCUUCCUCUUGUACAGCCAUCAUCAGAGAACCCCACACAUAAGUAUGGAUUUCCUGCAAAUGCUCCAGAAAAUCUCCAAUGCGUCUGCUCCUUGGGUACUAUUCCAGAGAAAAAAUUGUAUGAAAGAUUCAGGAGAGUCAAAUUUCCCAGAUUGGAAAUGUUAUCUGGAAUCUGACCAGCCAAAGAAUUGUGUGACAAAUCUAGAACCCUUAAGCUCAACAUCAUUCCCACAUUUUCAGACACUUGACCGUCAAGAAAAUUGUGAGACAAAUUUAGGUAUUCAAGACCUUGCAAUCCAAAUAGACUUGCUGGAAUUUGUCCGUGUAGUUGAUUAUCUGACAGAUCAAGUCCAACUGCAGUUGAGAGAUUGUAGUUGAAGCUUAGUUCAGUUUUACCAGCAACAAUGAUAGAAUAUUUGAUAUCCAGCUUUGGAGAUGUAACCGAUGAAAUUGUAGUGGUCGUUCUGCCAGCACCAACACUGAUGAAAUUUUCACUAACGUUAAAAUUACCAUCAACAAUGUAGCCAGAGAACUUAUUCCCAGAAAGGUCCAUUGUACGGAUUGCUGCAAAUGUGAAAAGCCAACUAGGUAGAGCUCCACUGAAUUUGUUGCGAGCAAGGGAAAGAAAUCUGAGGUUGGACCACUUAGUUAUUGCAUCAUUCAAAUACCCAGAAAGAUUAUUAUAACUGAAAUCUACAACUUCCAAAGAUUUACAUCCUGCCAAGGUGAGCGGUAUCUCCCCAGAAAUCUGAUUGCCGCUAAUAUCAAGUAUCUUCAAACUAUCUAAUGCAUCGAGCUCAGGUUGGAUUUCACCAGAAAGAUUGUUGUUGUUCAGUACCAGGGCCAGUAGUUGAAAACAGCCGACAAUGUUCAAAGGUAUUGAACCUGACAGUAUGUUAUGUGAGAAAUCAAUCACUUGGAGAUAGGUUAAAUUCCCAAUUCUUGACGGUAUCUCUCCACUAAGCAGAUUAUUGGAAAGAUACAAUGCCUGCAAGCUUUUUAAUUCUGUAAUCGUUACCGGAAUAUUCCCAGAAAAGUGAUUGUGCGACAGAUCAAGAAGUAAAAGCCUAGAUUUCUCUGAAGCCUCAACUAUCUUGCUUGGAAGUCUCCCAGAUAAUUCAUUGAAACUCAAGUCCAGGACAACUAAUUUUUCUGAAAACACAAAUCUAGGAGAGAUCCCAUAUGUUAACACGUUAAAUGACAAAUUGAGCUCGGUCAAUCCUCUAAGAGCAGAAAUGCAGGUCGGUAACCCUCCCAUAAUCGAAUUAUUGGCUAAAUUGAGCACCGAGAGUGAUGCAGACGAGGCAGAGAAACAUGGCAAGGUGCCAGAGAGCAAAUUAGCCUCAAGGUUGAUAUGCCCAAGAGCUUGACGAAAAUCGCCAACACUUCCCACCAAAUAAUUGUGGGACAAAUCCAAAUACCUCAAUGCCACCGAGUUAAACAAGCUUUUUGGCAUCUCACCAUUAAAAUUAUUGAAACUCAGACGAAGUUUUUCGAGCUUGACAGAGAAGUUCCCAAUCCAAAAGGGGAUGGUACCCAUUAACAUGUUAUGACUGAGGUCAAGCUGAACUAAAUUGUGAAGUUCCAUGAGUGCACUGGAAACAACACCACUAAACCUGUUAUAGCUAAGAUCCAGAUUUUUAAGCCUUGAAAGACCCCCAAAGCAGAAUGGGACAGAAUCAUUGAAGCUGUUAUGCGACAAACUAAGGGUUUCAAGAAAUGUAAGAUUGCACAAACAGGGGUGCACCUGGCCUAACAAGUCCAGUCCAGUGAGGUUAAGUGCAACAACCCGGCCAGUCUGGUUUGAACAGGUGACACCAUGCCAGUUGCACCCAACAGCGCCAUCCCAGCCUGACAAACUCUGGGAUUGUUCCAGGAGCUGUGACUUAAACAACAAAAGUGCAGAACCGUCUUGAGGGUCAAGACCAAUCUCCACCUCACCACCCACAUUCGCAGAAUCAUUGUUCAAAGAAACAGCAAAAAUAGCAAGAGGGCUUGACAAAAAUAACAAGAAGAAGAGCAAUAAGAAUGACAAAGGCCAAAAAACAAAGCUUUUCUUGCAGACCGUGAUAUCAAAAUCCCAUCUUUCUUCCAUGGAUUAAAGAUGGGCUAUUUAUGAGCUACCAUAGAAUGGUCCACUCUCACUGCGUGAGUGUGUGUUUUUUCUUGUGUCAAAACAAUAGUGUCAGUACCUGCAAGCUGGAAACAAUGCAGUGAGCUAUCUAAGACCGAAUUGGGAGGCGGGGUAUGAAGAACAGACAUUCUUUUCUAGCUUCCUCGAAUUUGCUGCAAAAAGGGAUUCUUUAGCUACUGAUUAAAGCUCGAAAGUUUUAGUACUACUAGAGUAUUAUGUUGCCAUAUUGCAAGGUGUGAACUAAAGUAAAGUAAACAACUUUUGAUCCUGGUCUCUUUUCUUGAAAUUCUCUGUUAAUGUGCUGUUCCUGCUGCUCUCUUUUGCUUUACUUUUAAUCUCUCGAGGAAUAGUACUGUAGCAGUAGUAAUCUGUUUGAAAUUCUCUGUUAAUCUGCUGCUCCUGCUGCUCUUUUUAGCUUUACUUUUUAUCUCUGGAGCAAUCUGCUGUUCUUUUUGUAAGCGCGUGUACUCUUCUUUUUUUUGGUAGUAUAAAAAUUUUAAAUAUAUUUAACUUCGAUCACCACUACAAUUAGAACAUAUUUAUUUUUGAAGAGGUUAUAGCUUAUCAACACAACCAUUACAUUGAAGAAUUUUUACAAAUGAUUCAUCAACAUGUCAUUUCAAUGUAGGACGAGAAAGUGACCGUUCUUACUAAUUCAGUUAAAAUUCAGUUAACCUGUGUAAUUUGUAUUAACAGUGUGUGGACUCAUACCAUUUGCGUUCAGGGUUCAUCUUUUUGUCGCCUAGGACACAUCAUCAUCAAUUCCGAAUCUUUCAACAACUUUUUUGGGCGCGUGGUAAAGGUUUCCCAUUACAUGUCAAUCACUUGAGGCUUCUCUCUACUCUGUAGCUGUAUUGUAUGAUUAUUCUCUCUUUUAAUUUCUUUCUUUUUCUUUUAUAUUAUUUUCUUUCUUUUUCUUUUACAUUGACUCGAAUAUUCGUCUCACCUCGUCGCAAAAACUUGAGUAGACAUGAUUCAUUAGAACUUUUGACUUAAAUUUUGUCACAUCUUAAUUGUACAAAUUAGCGCAAGUUAGUGAGACGAUAUGACAAAUUUUGAGAUAAUUAGGCCUUGUUUGGAUUGCCAGUUUCCGUAGAAAAAUUACGUCAUUUUUCGUGAUCACAUUUUCCUAUUACCUUUUUCCCUCGCAUACAUCAAAUCGCUAUAGUAAUUUUUCCAUGAAAAAUCCCGAAUAAUCUACGGGCGGAGCUCAUGUAUUUGAUGUACUCAAAUUUUCGCCCUCGCUCAUAACCCAUAAAGUCAAAAGAGAUGAGCCACCCGAUUUUGGGAUGACAAAAUCAUAUGUCGAUCUGAUCUGAUGUGGAGAUAUCAGGUGAUUUAAUGUUUCAUUUACUCAAAACACCUCCAAGGUUUAUACUAAUCCAGUACAACUUUUACUCUUUUUUUAUUUUUAUUUUUUACAAUUGAUAACACCUAUACUAUCCUCUACCCUCUAUUCUAACGAAGAAGAAGGUGAACCGAAUUAGGUUGUGUAAGGAGUUAGAUAAGGAGGACCUACCUAAACUAAAAGGAUUACUAUUGCAUACUUUUUAGAAUUUUUUUCAUGAAAGAUGUAUAGGGUCUGAACCCGAAAACACAUUUCUAUGGCCUUGUUUGGAUUGAUAUUUUCUGUCGAAAAAUUACGUCGUUUUCCGUAAACACAUUUUCCUAUUAUCUUUUUCCCUCGCAUACAUCAAAUCAUUACAGUAAUUUUUUCAUGAAAAAUGAUGGAAAAUGCAAUCCAAACGGGGCACAUUCACAAAGAAAUUUUUUCAUUUGCUGACCAAAUUUACUUAAAUACCUAUUUUUGGUGUCACUUACUUUUGACGUCCUUGAUUGUUAAUGUCAAUAUUCUCAUGAAAAAAUUCCAAUAGUUUGAGUAAUUCCUUAUUUUCACACAAAAAUGUGUGUUAGCCAAUGAUAAAAUUCCAAAUCUAGAAGUCUAAAUGUCCUAUAUAUCCCUCUAAAAUAACUAAAUAACCAAGUUUGUCAAUAUGCCCAAUAUGAGGAUGCAAAGUGGUAAUUUCACAAGGAGAAUAUUGGACCUUAGAGGUGGCUGAAUAACCCCAAUGUACUACUAUAAGAACAUGUUACAUGUGCAGUGAGUCCAGUGACUAGUAGUAACGUGCUUCAGAAUUCUUCAAAUUUGAAUUUAAGCAUUGUGAUUAUUGUCCAUAAACAUUUUGCAGCCACACAUGUCUUAUCAGGCCGUGUGUCUGAAAGAUUAUUUGGGAUAAUUUUUUUUAAAAAAAUUAUAAUAAUUUUUUAAUCUAAAAUAAAAAAAUAAUUAAAAAAUAUUUUUUUAAUAUAUACAGAUAAAUAUACGUAAAUAAUUUACUAUCCAAACACGUACAUUUUCCCAAUCUUCUCCUCCAAAAAUUUGAUUCCCACCGGCAACGUCCCUGCCCUACCCCAUUCCAAAGAAAAGUUCCAUCAUUGUGUUCCAUGAAGAAAUCAUUUACCUAUUUUUUCGUUGACCGUAUCUGACUUUUUCUCGGGGGACGAUGUAUUUCUAUUUUAGAAUGUGUAUGUAGCUCCCCCAUGUUGAUUGGCUAUUUAAAAAAAGAAGGGUUAAUUUCAUUUUGCACCCCCUAAACUAUUAUCAAGUUGAACUUUUAUACCCUAAACUUUUAAUUUUCGUGAUUAACAUCUUGAACUUCUAAUUUUUGCAUCCACUCCAAUAAACUCAAUUCUGGCAACCUAAACCGGAUUUCUUCCGACAGUUUUUUGGUGAAAAGGCCCUCUCAAUUCUACUUGUUCUUCUUUUUGUACUGGAAAUACCCUUUUCUUUCCUACAUAAUAAAGGCCAAAACUUUGAACAAAUAGUAUACUAAUAAUUAAAGGGUUUCAAAUGCAAAAAAAAAAAAAAAUGGAAAAAUGGAAAAAGAAAAGUUUCUACGCCUCUUAACAUUUGCAAGGCGAGGGAUCAGAGAAGUCUCAGGCCUUUCCUCCCAUUUGCAAAUAGGAGCCAUCUUGAUUUCUACACAAUCCAAUCAAUUGGAAUAUUGCCAAUGAUUGUUGGGUCAAGUGACAAGAAAUUUAGGUUGUAUUUGGAUUGCAUUUUCCGUCAUUUUUCAUGAAAAAAUUACUGUAGCGAUUUGAUAUAUGUAAGGGAAAAAGGUGAUAGGAAAAUGUGAUCACGGAAAACGACAAUAUUUUUCGACGGAAACAAGCAAUCCAUGAACAAGGUUCCUUAGCAAGGUCUCGAGUUCGAGUUUUGUAGAUUAAGGGAAAAAAAAUGCCAUCUUUGAGAUUCGACACUGCUUGACUUCAGAUUAAUUGAAAUCCAAUGCGAUCACCAGAUAUUGGAAAUUUACACAAAAAAAAAAAAAAGAAACAUUAGCAAGGUCUAUAAACUUAACCUGAUUUGUACAGAAAACAAUUUUGAUUGGAUUAAGUUUUCUAGUUCUAUUGACCCCGUAUGACCUAAAAAUUGCUUUGUCUUUGAAGGACUGCCUGCAUUAGGUAGAGAAGGAUUAAUUGGUGCUUGCAAUUUACUUGAUUGUUUUAUAAAAGUUUACGUACGGCUAUUGUAGCAUGGAUCUAUUCUCUAAUUUUUCUCUUAGCAUUUGUUACAUCCAAUGUACAAAUGACAACUUGGGGAACAUUUGAUCAUAAUCUAACUUUUCUGGCAUAGAUGAUCAAUUAGUGCUAGGUUUACAAAGUGAAUUAUUCUAGUUCCCUGCCUUCCAUUCUCCUCCCAUGGCCUGCAAAAAAAAAAUAAAAUAAAAUAAAAUAAAAUAAUAAGAAGUAGAAAAAAGGGAAAAAGUGAAACAUAGAUCAGUUUUUUUUUUUUUUUGGUAGUAGUAUAGAACUGCUCAGAACACUUUUUUAA
Molecule: long non-coding RNA, 65097 nt
Filed under: Coffea arabica (coffee)
Lineage: Eukaryota; Viridiplantae; Streptophyta; Magnoliopsida; Gentianales; Rubiaceae
Description: long non-coding RNA (CARA_LNC006465)
Source: RNAcentral